GCGAUACGAAGACAAAAGAGAAUGUUACCGACAAGCCAAGGAAUGCCUGGAGCUACCAGAAGUUACAACAGAUUCUCCCUCUGAGCCCUCAGAAGGAACUAAUCUGUUCAACAUCUUGAUUUUGGACUUCUGGCCUCCAGAACUGUAAGAUAAUAAAUUUCUGUUGUUGAAGUCACCCAGUUUGUGGUACUGUGUUAUGGUAACCCUAGGAAACUAAUUCGGGGCAGUAAUAGUGCUUAUCUCAUGGAGAUGUGAGGAUUAGAUGAGAUAUAAGCAAAGGGCUUAGCACAGUUCUUGGUACAUAGUAAGUGCUUGAUGAUUGUGGGUAGGACGAACACCCUUGAUGUGGGGGCAAUCGAACAACGCCUCACAGGAGCGAUGGCAUUUGCCUUAAGGCUUGAAGGCUGGGUAGGGUGUGGGCAUUGAGAAGGUGUAGGAAGAGGGAUUCAUGGAACUGUCAUUUGCAGGGACAUCUCGGCCCCAGAGAAGACUUAGGCUGAGCCCUGAGGUUCUUGCCUUCUGGCCCAGGGGCAAGUAACCGUUGGGGAAUGUGGAGGAUUCCUGUUAUUUUUACAUUCCUUGUCUUUUGAUAACAGCCACUCAGUCUUCCUUUGGAAAAGUCACCCCUCCCCUGCUCUAAUCAUGGCUCUGUCCUUCCUCAGGCCAGUGAGAGGUCUCCAGCCUGCUGGGCCUCAUGAAGAGUCCAGGAGGUAGCAUAAGCCCAAACAGGGCCAAUCAGAGUUCUCACUAAGGAUAGAUAUGGAUGGUGAGAAAGGGAGGAUCUCUGAUCCUCUGCCAUGGGGAACAGUAAGGACAAUGAACCUGGUGCUUCUUGGAGCUAUUUUCCCUGACUGUGUCGAGGAAGCCGUCUUUGGGAUGAGGGGAGCAGGCUCAUGUGCAAAUGGAAGUAAAUCUGAGAGUUGGAAAGUGAUGGAGAUGGAUGGAUUGAUGGCUGGCUGGCUGGCUGGCCGGAUGGAUGGAUGGAGAGAGAGAGAGAGAGAGAGAGAGAGAGAGAGCAAGAGAUCUGAAGGCAGUGAUACAGUGUUUGAGGCCCAGGAGCCAGCAUUCCUGAAUCCAGAGGUCCAUGGACCUUAAAGUAAUGAAAACAAAUACUUUUUUUCCCCCUUACACUACUUUGUGUUGGGGUUGAUUGCAUGCAUCCAGGAGAGUCCUGACUUCGUCAUUAUCUUCAGGCACCAGCCUUACCCCAGGGCAAGCAGCUCCUGGGUAUGAACUUUCAAGAGGGUGAUGUAGGUGGUCAUGGUGGUGACAGUGGUGCCUGUUACAGCCUAGUGGGUCACAGAGGCCAAGACGGGCCUCCAGUGCAAUUUCACAUCAAGAUUGGCUUCCGUCUGUGACUUUCCCUCAAAUGUCCUCACUGUGUACUGACAGGUAUUUGCUUCUUUCUCUUUUGACCAAAAUCCACUGUGGGGAGUAAGGCUAGUCCUGCAAAGAAUUUCAGAGAUUUUAAGAAGGCAGAAGCCUUACUUCUCACAUCGAAUGGAGAAUUCCAAGAGUGUGAGUUGGGAGACCUUCAGGACCAUUGGAAUGGGUGUGGAGAGGCAUCCCUUUUCUCUUAAGGUGUCAAGGAGCUAGAUCUUCUUGGCAUUUCCACUCAAGCUUAAUUUCUAGUCCUCCUCAUGUGUGCACCUCAGUGCUGAUUUAGUUGUUUUUCUCAUCCACAGGGAUCACAAGAAGCUCUGGGGUCCAGAUUUUACACGGUCGCCUGUCACCCAACCACGUGUGCAAAUACUUGUAUGCAGAUAGAACUCGAGUUUGUCCAAAGACCAAUCAUCUCUGAACGUCUUCUGCUAAGAAUUUAAUAUAUAUAUUUCUAUUUAGCCCUCUAGUCUAAAGGUGAGUUGUUAGUAUGCGAGGUUCCUGAUAGAAUUGAACACUUUCAAAAUUUUAUUUUUCAGUAACUAGUUAAUGUGGGAACACAUAAUGUGUACUAAAUUGUACAGUUACACUUAUGUGUAUCAGUUUUGUGCCAGGAGGGUUGAGGGAAUGGUGGGUACAUCAUGGCUGCUUUUCACCCAUUGAAAGUGCUAUGCUCCAAGACUUCUUGGGAGAAUUAAGACUAUAAAGCUGACAUAGGCCAGGUGACACAGGAACACAUAGUGAACAUUUGUAAGCUUAUGGCAAUGACUACCAUAGUGUCUUUACAAACUGGUUUUGACCACAUGUUCAUAAAAAUCCUAGUUACUGACUGAGGGCAAUCAGUGGGUUCUGCCCUUUUAUUGUCUACUCAAACCAGAUACAUUGUUUAUGGCUAGAAUAGUGCCCAGCACAGUGUAGGCCCUCAUUAAGCAGCUGGUGGAUUCCUUAAUGGGUAUUGGUAGUGAACUCUGUUUCUCUUCUCUCUCCAUGUUCCAGCUCUGUUGGACUUCCCCUAUUAGUUCCCAGAAUGCUCUACACUUUUUUUUACCCCUCGGGCCCUUUGCACAUGCCAGUCCCCCUGCCUAGAACACUGUGCACUCAUCCAGCAAGUAUUUAUUGAGUGAUAAUUAUGUGUUAGGUAGGCAUUUGUACAGGUACUGGGGCUCCCACAGUGAACAAGACGAUGGAGCUUGUGUCGUAGCUGGGGGAGACUGACGAUAAAGAAAAAUCAGUACAUAUAUGUUAUAUCAGAUGAAGAAAAGAUCUGCAGAGAAAAAUAAAGCUGGGAAAGAGGAAGUUGUGUCUAUGUGGGUAGGGGCUGUUGUUGCAAAUUUUAAAGAGAAAGUGACAGCUGGCCAACUAACUGCUACACCCCCUUCAGGCCCUCUCUGCACCCCUAGACUACGUGAACACUCCUUGUUUCAGGUUUCCAGACCAUGUGUACUUCCUUUGUCAUUACGCUCUUUAUAACUGCGGUUGUUUUAUGGAAACUUUUUCCCUGCUGGAUUGGGCUUCACAAAACUGGGGCCAUGUCGUCUUAUUUACCACUCUGUUGCUGCCCUCGGGGACGGCCUUGCCCGUGACAGACAUUCUGUGGCUAUUUACUGGGUGAACAGAUGAGGGAAAAUAGGACAUCACUUAGAAAACAUCCUAUGUUUUCCUGCUUGCUAUGUGUACAGUAGAAAUAAUGUAUUGACUCUUUGGCCGUUGUACAUAUUAGGAGCUUUGGAAAGCAAAAUAUCAAAUAAUUAAGUGAGCCUAAAAUUAGUGUAGAGCAGGGCUUCUCAAACCUGAAUGUGCACACUAGCCACCUACAGACCGUACUUUCCAGAGAUGGCUGGACGGCACAUCCCAGCCCACGUGGUCUUCUUAUGGUAACGUUGACAUUUCUCCCAUUGAGACAUGGGGUCUCUUUCUCUCCCUUCCAGUCUGGGUGGAACCAUGGCCAGAGGAAGUGACACUGUGUGACUUUUUGAAACGUCUACUUUUGGAAAUCAUGCUGUGAAGAGACUUGAUCUCAGGAUCUUUCUUGGAGCUCUUGGAAAGUAAUUUCCCUUUCUUAUGAAUGUGUAAGCCUGGAGUUGCUGAGGGUCCCUCAUGUGGUAGCAAACUGCUCAAGAGUGAGACCCAUAUGUAGGGAAGCAGAGCUGACAUGGAGAGACCAAAUCUUGAUGAUUGUCUGAGCUGCAUGAUCCGGAUAUACCUGAAGUCCCCUUAGAGUUUUCGGUUAGAAAAGCCAAUAAUCCCCUUCCUUUUUUUUUUUUUUUUAACUACUUCAAGUUGGGUUUGUGUCACCUGCAUCAGAUGAGGGGUGCCUGGGUGGCUCGGUCGGUUAAGCGUCUGACUUCGGCUCAGGUCAUGAACUCGCGGUUUGUGAAUUUGAGCCCCAAGUCGGGCUCUGUGCUGACAGCUUGGAGCCUGGAGCCUGCUUUGGAUUCUGUGUCUCUCUCUGCCCCUCCCCCACCCCCCCAAAACAAAUAAACAUCAAAAAAAUCUUUUUAAAAAAAGACGAUUCAUGAUGAAUAUGAAUUCGUGCCAAUAUCCUUGGCAACACAGUCUAUAGACCUAGCUUUUGAAAACUAUUUAGCACUAUAAAAAAACAAGGAUAUUGCUGUUCCUACUUCCCUAAGAAUAUCCUCGAGGAGCCAUAUCCAUCAAUUACUAUUAAUGAGCACAUCCCAAAUUCCGGCCCUUUGAUGAUCUGGGCACCCUCGUCAGGUAUUUCCGCCCUCUUCCCUCCGUGACCCCUGCAGUUUCCCAGGCUACCCUGACUCCAAGAUAACCUACACCUGUUCUCAGCAUGUCCUGCGGGGACCCAGGCGAACCCCUUGGAGAUUCUGAAUGAUUCAUCUUGUACAGAACCCUGGGUUUGCCUGGGACUCUCAGGGGAGCCGUGUGAGAAACUCUAAAAUACACAUGAAUGAGUAAAUCGGGACUGAGUGCCAAUUUGGAGCGAUUAAAGGAUCCCGUGAAAGCUGAACCCCUGGAGAGAUGUACAUGCUUCUGUUGUAUAAUCCCGUAAGUGCAAAGGGGCAUAGGAGUAGCCUCUUUUGAUGGAGCGCCUGUGCACACCCACUCUUGCCCCUUGGGUCCUUGGCACCCGCAGAGCUCCUGUCAGCACGGAGGCCAGCCCCGGGCUCUCUCCUAUCACCCUGGGAGUGUCUUCUAAAGAAUUCCUCCAGAGUCGUGGUUCUGGGCUGCGCUGAUUACUCCUAGUAAGGUUAGCCCUGGCCCCUGGCUCUUCAGGGCAGGAAUGAGUUGCCAGAAGGGUCACAUUCUUCCUCGGAGGCAGUUCACUGUCCUUUCUUUUAGCAGGGGGUGGUGAUGUGUUUUUCCCUACGUGCCGCUCCUCUCUCGCUAAAUCUCCAUCUAACCUCAAGACUCUCGGAUGCCACCUUAUCUGGGAAUCCAUCCCGGGCCCUCCUUUUUCACUCAGGCCUGUCUAGCUUCUGUAGCCUCAGAGCUUCCGGGACUCGUUAUACGGGCGUCGUUAAUGAAGUUUUGGGCACAAUGUCUGGUAUAGUGCUUCGGUGGUGAUGAGCCGGGAUUCAGAACAGCUUCUUCAACUCCCCUCUUUCCCGGACGGCGUCUAAAACUGUCCAGCGGGCUGUGUUGUAACCCCACGGGCUCCAGCCGAUGGGAAGUCAGGAUCUCACCUCCCUCCCUUCUGGAGAGCUGGGUGGCUAAACCCUGGAGCCCAGAGACCUGCUCUGUCCCUUGGUAGCUCGCUUCUCAUUACCUCACUUUUCUUAUCUGGACAAUGGGGAUCACGAUGAGUUCUACUCCUCAGCAUUGUCAUGAAGAGUAAAUAAAGUAUCCAGGGACAGCUAAGUUUCAUAGAGUGCUGGGCACAUAAGAACUCAGCAAUGGCAUGGCUCCUAUAACGUCAUCAAUGAAAAUCUAAUGAAUAUCGAAUAGGAGACAGGGCAGAGUUUUAGGUUCCAGCUCUGGGCCUCGCGUGGAAUUGACUUCUCGGUGACUCGAGGUGGUGUCCAGACCUUGCUGUGUGUGACCCGUUGCCUGUGUUCAUCCGCUCAGCAGCUGUUCACUGCCUGGCUGUUCCUCGUCUACCAUAUAUAAGCCACAGCUCCCAUAGUGGCGUUGUGGGAAUCGGGAGUGAGGCCGGGAAAAUAUUUUGCAGUUUUGGCUGAACGAUGGGUUAGCAUUCUAGACUGUUUAUUUUUCUUCCCUAGAAUUUGCUUUGCCAGCUCCCAGCCCUGUGGUCAGGGGCAAGAGGUCUUUACUUGCUUUAAGAGAAAGCCGAGGGUGAAAAUAAUACUCCUGUUUCUGCUGUUUCUGAAACAGAGGAACCGUAAAGGAGGCUUCAGAGAAAAGUGUGUGGGUUCAGACAAUGCUUUCUGGCUGGUAAGGAAUGAAACCACAAGGAUUAGGAGGCACAUUGCACUUAAAAAAAAAAAAAAAAAACAGGAGCAGGCAAAGGACUUAACUCUACAUGUACUGGGGUGAAGUUCAAUGUUCGUAAUCUAGUCUUUGGCUCUUGUAGUAUAGUGUUCAGUAAAUAUGUAUAUAUAUUUAGCAUGUAUUAUGUGUAGAAUUCAGCACCCUUUGCCUGACUUUAGAUGGAGGGGCAUUUGUUAUAUGUAAUACUUUGACCAUAGAGUAGGAUUCUGUAAACAGAACUUCCCCCCUUGAAUUCUUUCUGCCCCUUAGAUUCUGCCCAAAUAUUUAAUGGCAAGUAUCCUAUAAAACUCUGGCAGGCUGGGGUACCUGGCUGGCUCAGUCAGUAGAGCAUACAGCUCUUGAUCCUGGGUCACGGGUUUGAGCCCCACGUUCAGCGUAAAACAACAACAGUGGCAACAACAACAACAGAGAACUCUGGCAGGCUGUGGUUCAAUGUGCUGACCGUUGGUCUAACGGUCGUUCAAUGUUGGUUGCUUACAAUUUUCUAUCAAAUCUGAAUGCUGUUGGCGUUUUAGGUAGAAUGACUAUUCUUUUUUGCUGGAGUGUCCAUUGCAUUCCCACUAAAAGUCAGUAACGGCCUCCAGUUGUUACAACUGAAAAUGUUUCCCCCCAUUUCCAAAAGCCCCGUAGGGGGACUGUGCCGCCCCCCAUUGAGAACCACUAGAUCACAUAGCAUCUUGUUUAAUGAUCGCACGGAAUUGAGUUCAGAACUUUCCCCACUAGACGUGAAGCUUCAUGAACGCUGCACAGACCCAUGUCAGGUGUUAGUCUCUGAUGGUUUUUUUCUGGUGCUUAGAACAGGGUUUGACCCUUAGUGGGUUCUCGAUAGAUACUGUGCUGGGAUGAUGGCAAUGCCAUAUAGUACACUAUCAAUUUUACAUAACUUAGUCAAACUGCAUUGCAGAGUUUUUUGUAAGCAAGGGUGAUAUUCAAAAUAUUUAACAAAUAGGGGCACCUGAGCGGCUCGGUCGAUCAAGUGUCUGACUUCCGCUCAGGUUAUGAUCUCAUGUCUCACAGGUUUGAGCCCUGAGUCGGGCUCUGUGCUGACAGCUUGGAGUCUGGAGCCUGCUUCUGAUUCUGUGUUUCCUUCUCUCUCUGCGCCUCCCCUGCUUAUGCUCUCUUUCAAAAAUAAAGAAAUAAACAUUAGAAAAAAUAUUUAACGAAUAAUAUUGCACACGCUCUGACCAAUAAGAACUUAUUGGAGAGUCUGGAGGCCUUGCUGGCACAGGAACCUUUAGUUGCUGGCUCAUGGGACAGUCCAGAGGGUCCCAGGAAUAGGAGACAGGGAGUGAGGUGAUAGGAGGGGACAGUGUCAAAUUUCAACAGCCAGCAAGGCACUAGGAGAAGAUGCUUCUGAAUAUCAUCAGAGUGGCUAUUGUGUAGAGUGCAGCAUACAGAACGUUUUCAGGACACCCCGGGAGCUAUUCAUCCGUUGACCAGAUAUUGUGAAAUAUCUGUACAAAAGUUCUCUGGCUUCCAGGCUUUCUCUACUUUUCCCCCCAGAAGUCUCUCUUCAUUUUGUUCAGUCAAUGCCAGACCAGAUUGUUCAAGAAAAGAGUGAGAAAGAACAUGGGGGUGCCCCCUGUAUUUCAUGCCCAUAACCCACAGGCAAAUGCGUGUUCCUCGGGAGCCUGGCAAGAUUCCCUGUGUUAGCAGUGCCUUCCCACCCACCUGGCUCCUGCGGCUGAGGCCCUAACCCUUUUUUCCAGGUGAGCCUCGUAGUCUUCUAAGUCUCUAGAAUUUGGCUCAGCAGUUGACUGUGUAGGAAGGACAGUGACAAAGUUUUGGAUUCUGGGACACCUGGGUUUUAGUCCCGCCUCUUCCCUUACCGGAUGGGCGAUUGUAGGCAAAGACAAAAAAAAAAAAAAGAAAAAAUCACACACUCUGCGUUGGGUGCCUGUGGACAAAUCACGUAGCCCCUCUGUUUCAUUUACUGUAAAAUGAAGGAUCCACACUGGCUGCUCUCUAGAACUCUCCUUGCUGAGUCGUUAGAUCCCCUGGGUUGUGGAGGUGGAAGGCAUGUCCUUGUGUGGAUCCCAGGCCCACUGCUCUGGCCUCACUUGUGUGGCAGGGACCUGGGGGCCCGUGCAUGGGAUCCAGGCUCUGUCCGCCCUCUCUUGGCUUAGGCCAGAGGGCCUCCAGCCCUAGAGCUUAGCUCUGAGGUUCUCCCACUGGAAACGAUGGCCACGACCGCUUGCUCCUCCGUGUCCUCCCUUGCACCCCUCUCUCCUCCUCCCUCACUUUCUUAAGCUGUUGCUCUUUCUCUGUUCUCUCUCUCCUUCUCCAUCCUUGGGGGGCCUCAUCCCCUCACCUGCUUCAACUCCAAGGAAACCAAAACACUAAGGCCCCCGCCCUGUCGUCAAACUGGGUCCUUGGGAAGUUCCUUAAGCUCUGCUUGACUCAAUUUCCUCAUUUAAAAAUGUGAUAGUCCUUCCCACCUCAAAGGGUUGUUGGGACCGUUCAGUGAGACUGUACGUGUGAAAUACUACAGCAGUGUCUGGCCAAUGGGACUUGAGCCUCCUUCGUUAGUAUUUCCCUUUUCCCUGCAGCAAGUUGACUUGGCUCAUGGCAUACAUAUGGGUGUGCUAUGAUUAAUCUGCCCUGGAAAGUUUGCAUUCUCUUUCCUUCGAGCAUUAAAGUGCGUGAGUAACCUACUCGCUGAGCUUUCUUUUUUCAUGCAGCCUCUUGCCGUUCCCAUUCCUUCCUGCAAACACACACAUUCUUCAGCUUGAUUAAACUAUUUGGAGUUCCGGGGCGCCUGGGUGGCUCAGUCAGUUAAGCGGCCGACUUAGGCUUAGGUCACGAUCUCACAGUCUGUGAGUUCAAGCCCCGCGUCGGGCUCUGUGCUGACAGCUCGGAGCCUGGAGCCUGUUUCAGAUUCUGUGUCUCCCUCUCUCUGACCCUCCCCCAUUCGUGCUCUGUCUCUCUCUGUCUCAAAAAUAAAUACACGUUAAAAAAAAAAAACUAUUUAGAGUUCCAAGACUCACUAGACUUUCUCAUUUUUCCUUGUCUCUGUAUCUGGCCAGCAUGCCCUUUCCCCAAUCUAUCUUUUUUUGUCUUUGGUAGUGGUGGGACAGAUUGACCUCUUAUGAGUAGAUGCUUCAGGAAUUGGCUCACACGCCACCUCCUCCAGGAAGACUUCCCUGGUUGCUGCCACUCCCCAAGGUAGAGUUAAGUGGUUUUUCGGUUGUGCUUUUUAGAGACUGUUGUCACAGGGCUUACACCAUGGCAGUGCCAUUAUUUCUGUUUACUUGUCUCUCUUUUUAAACUGGCAAGUCCUUGAAGGCAGGAACUUUGCUGUAUCUAUCUUUUUAUCCUCAGCACCCAGCCUUUUUCUUUUCUUUCUUUCUUUUUUUGGAAUCUAAUAUGUGCUUAGUAAAUGUUAUACGAAUGAAUGAAGAGGAUGGGAAAAGACGUCCUAAGAACUCUCUAGAAAAGUCGCAAAGUCAUUGUACUAAAGGAGAUUCAUUUUACUAAGAGGAACACUUCUCUGUUCCUGUUUCUUUCCAGAUAUAUGUGCCUACUUUGGGCACAAUUAUAAUAAUUUUGAUUUUUAGAAAGUCCAUAGCUGGUAGAAAGAACAGACUAGAAGGGAUGGAGGUAAGGUGUUAGAGACAAGGAUCCUGAAACACCUGAUCCUCUGAUAGUGACAGGCACAGAAAAAGUACAAAACACACAACUGGGCACCUGAGCACAGGGAAACAGCUUUAAGCCGCACAGAAUAUUCCUACACAGCCCAACAGCUGACAUUCAAAAGGGAUGGCCUGAGUUACUGAAGGUUUAAAUUAUACUUUGAAGAGUCUGCUUAAGAAAACAAAGCUCUAACACCGAUUGAAUUUUUCGUGGAAUAAGUUUCAGUCACCGGGAAACGGCAUGGGACAGUUCAGUCAUUAGGAUGCUACUUGGACAUUUUAAGACGGAAACUAUGUUGUGGGUCUGGAGACGGUUCUGCAAUCUCGUAACGACUUUCACCGAUACACAACAGAAUGGUAAGUAAAAGAUGUCUUUAGGACCUGGCUUGUUGAACUCAUAUGGAGCCCUGGGGGCUUGUUGGCAUUCUUUUGAAUAUUGAUGCUGAGAUGGGGGAGUACAGGAGCUUCCCUCCCUCUCUUGUCAUCAUCAGCCUCCUAUUUUCUAUGCAAGAGGCUGGGUGUAGGAUUUUGUUUGAAGGAAGGCAUCCUCAGCUAAAACAUGCAGUAAGCAUGUUCUUACAGGAGCAUGCAUCCAGAUAUAAGUUCUUAGGACGCAGUGAUUAUGAGCAUCGUCUGAAUGAGUUCAGGUCUGGGUGUCUGGGCUUCACCUCUCCAUACCUCGGUUUACUCCUUUGUAAAAUGUGGAUAAUUAUAGCCCCCGUGUCACUGAGCUGUUGUGAGAAUUAAACUUGUUAAAAUAGGUAAGGCGCUUAGAAAAAUGCUUGGCAUAUAAGAAAUCUAUUUUGCUAUUUGCUAUUCAGGUAGCCCCUUCAUCAAGCCUGCCUCGUAAGGGGUGAGGCAAAGCUUUGAAAGCCAGUGCUCUCUGAGCCUUGAAGAACGUAGGGAGGGGCAGGGCAUUUGAGUCUAAGAGCAAGGGAAGGAGGGGGAAAGAUCACACGUUCGGGCCCUGGGUCGGGACCUCGCAUACACGAGAGGAACACUACGUGGCAAAUAAGUUAUUACUAAGCAGUGUCUCAGGUCAGGCAGCGUGCAAGGUGAGAGGGAGGGGACAGAGCACAGCUGCGGGGAGAAGGGGAAGUAGCUUGAGCCCUGUGUGGGCUCCCAAUCCGUCUGCCUCGCUCACGAACCGGAACUAAUUUCAACUGGCGUCUUUGGAUCUGGGUUUUAGAAAGCUACUCUGGGAAGUGCUGUGGAGGUUAGAGAGUUGGAAGGAGAGGAGAAGGACAGAGUCAGUGGCUGUUUCAGAGAAAAAACACCCAGGGUGGGGUGGGAGGCAUGGGAGAGGACAAAGAUGAUUCCAGAGUUUCCUGGUUUGGGCAACUGGGUGGAUAUGAUGCUGUUCAUCAAGAUAGAGAAGGCAGGAGGAAGAGCAGGUUUGGGUGGGGGAGGUAAUGAGUUCAUUUCUGGGACAGGCUGAAUUUGAGGUGCCUAAGGGAAGUUGAGGUGGAGAUACCCAGUAGGCAGUCGGGUCUGGAGCUCAGCUAGGAAGGGCAGGGCCAGAGAUACGGAUCCCAAGUUGUGAACUUAUAAAUGAGAGUUAGAACUUUGGGAGUGGUUGAGUUCACUCAGGGAAGAAGCGUGAAGUGUUAGAAGAACAAGAAUGGAAUGGCGAGGUCAUCGAAGGCUGGGGGUGGGGCUGAGGAAGGGUUCGGCACGAGAGACCAGGAGGGGCUGCCCAUGUGAGCCAAGUCCUUGGCUUGAGCAGGUAGGACGCACAGCAGCCUUCAGUGGGGCCCUUCCCAGGCCUUGGCUGCCCUGAUAACUUAAACAAAAAGCAUUAUUGCUCUCAAAGGGCAAGAAGGGGUUUGUGAUCUUGAAAUCAGUGUGCUUUGGAGCUGAAUCUCAAGAGAUUUGAUGAUCCAGUGGUGUGUGUGUGUGUGUGUGUGUGUGUGUGUAUGUAUUUAAGUUUUCAAGAUGACAACCUUUAGAACAAAAUGAAACCUGUUCGAAAUCCCAAGAGAUGAUAGAGUGAUCAACGGAGGUCUUGUCAUUGAGGCUGGGGCUGGGUGGCUUCUCUCUAAUGUUUUAGGGCAGCAUACGCACAUUCAUCCCACAUAUAUUACUUAGGUACCAAGUAUAUGGCAGUCCCUGUGCUCAGCUCUGGAUAGAGCUGUGGCCAAAACAGUUUCUGCCCCUGGGGCUAACUGGUUCUCAAUCUUGGCUGGACCUUAGCAUCAUAUGGGGACUAUUGAAAAAUUCCCCCAUGCCUAGGCCGUGCCUCAUACCAGAGAACUCAAAAAUCCUUGGCAAUGCGACCAAGCGGAAGUAGCUUUAAAAACUCUGCAGACUUGGGGGUCCCUGGGUGGCUCAGUCGGUUAAGCGUCUGACUUUGACUCAGAGCUCACGGUUCAUGAGUUCGAGUCCUGCGUCGGGCUCGAUGCUGACAGCUCAGAGCCUGGAGCCUGCUUUGGAUUCUGUGUCUCCCUCUCUUUCUGUUCCUCCCCUGCUCUCACUGUCUCUAUUUCUCUCUCUCAAAAAUAAAUAAAGAUUAAAAAAUAAAUAAAACGAAAAAACCUCUGCAGUUGAUUUCAAUGUGUAGCUACAGCUGAGAACCAGCUGAGUGUAGAUCAUCUAGUGCACCCAAGUAUUUCCACGGAACCCCAAUGGCAGACUCUUGACUCAGUCCAGUUGCCUUAAUUUAUCCCUGAGGGGCCAGGAGUUGAGUUGGCCAAGGUGGCCCAUGAAGGGCCUGGGCUGAGAGCUCCUGUACCCCACUGCUCAGCCAAGGAAGAGUCUUGCACACCGGUGUGGCCUCGGCCUGAUCUGUGCUGUGGCCCUUAACCUGGCUGGCCACCCAGCUUUGAUGUUUAAGUAGAACUCUGGUGAAUGAUUUACAUUGUUCUCUCUUUUCACCAGGGCUGUCUUCUUUCUCUGUGAAAAACCAGUUGAAUUCUUUGUCUAAAUGGGGUAUUCAUUCAGAGGACGCACAAUGGACCUCUUUCACUCGCAACUAAAUCUCUAGUAACAGAGACCAAGGGCCUGCCAGCAACAUCCUUGUGAAACCCGUCCCCGUGCGCCCGGCUUCUGGAAAUGAACCGUGAGCACUGCCGUUUGGAGAAACAGGGGCCCCACAUUGUGUAGGGGGUGGGGCUGAGAGCCACAGACUGCUCUGACGCUGCGGGCAGGUCUCUGAGCUCGCACUGGGGAGCCCUGGAGUUGCUCCCCACAAGGGCAACCAAGCCCUUUUCUCGGUGGGACCCCCAAAAGCAUCAGUCUGGCAAUCACCGUUUAAGCCUGGAAGGGCAGCUGUGUGACUUUGGGUUACUGGCGUGACCUCUCUGAGCCUGAGUUUCAGGCCGAAACAUGGGGGAAUAGGAUUAUCGUGAGGAUUAAAUGACAUAAUACGUGCAAAAUGUGGGGCACCUACGGUUAUCUGCCAUGUCCUAAAUUAAGGCCCUUUGAUAUAUAAUGCAAAAUUGAACCCAAAGAACUAAAGCAGCAAACGAGCUGUUGUGGCUUGUCAUCCCUCAAUUAUAAAUGAGAAUACUGAAGCCCAGGGAAUGGAAGAAACGUGUCCAAUGUUGCACAGUCAUCAAAGGAGAUGGACUUUGAACUCGGGCCUCCCACAGUAAGAGGGCAAGAGUGGAUUAGCUAUUACUAUUUUCUGGAUGUUGCUUUGGAUUCAGACAGGAGGAGAGAAGGUGUGGGGAGUGGGGAAGAAUUUCCUUAUUACUUUGGAGGAUGUAUUCAGAGCCAUGAUACUUAAGCCAGACGCUGCAGAGUUUCAUCCUGGGAACAGAGGAAAAGGAGCCAGUUUCUGCUGGGACCGACUAGGUGCUAGGCAGCACGCGAACCCUUUUUGGGGACACUUGUACAUUAUUUAACGCGCAGGAAUAAAUCUGCAAGGGAGGUGGUAGGGAUUUUUAUCCCUAAUUUGGGGUUGGCGGGGAGGGUUCAGAAGCUCAGAGAAGUUAAGCAACACGCCCAAUGUCACAGAGUCAGUGUUGAAGCCUGACUUUGAACCAGAGUCUGUCUGGCCUGAGAUGCACCUGCUGCUUUGCUUUUGCUGAAUGUAUCCUGUUGACCUUGAGAAAUGAGGUCUUCUCCGUGUCUUCAGUUUACUCUCUCACUUUGUAGGGAUCUCGUCUCCAUUUCUUUUUUUUUUUAUUUUUUAUUUUUUUUUUUUCAACGUUUAUUUAUUUUUCUUGGGACAGAGAGAGACAGAGCAUGAACGGGGGAGGGGCAGAGAGAGAGGGAGACACAGAAUCGGAAACAGGCUCCAGGCUCUGAGCCAUCAGCCCAGAGCCCGACGCGGGGCUCGAACUCACAGACCGCGAGAUCGUGACCUGGCUGAAGUCGGACGCUUAACCGACUGCGCCACCCAGGCGCCCCUCGUCUCCAUUUCUUAGGUCCUGAACAAUUAGAGAGGGUGGCUUCCUAGGCUGUUUGCUUGGCAGCCACGUCGGGAGGAGAGUGGCAGUGAUACUAAAAUUAAUAAUAAUAAUAAUAAUAGCAAUAAUUAUCACAUUGAGCACUGUGUCCCAAGCACUCCAUGUGUUCCAGACACAGUUGCAAGAACUCAACAGACCUUACCUCAGUUUAAUCCGCACAACACUCCUGUACAGUUGGGAUUAUCACUCUUCCUGUUUCUGCAGAUGGGAAACUGGCACAGAUCAGUCCAGCAACUUGCCUAAGGUCACACAGCUAGUCACCGUGGACCUGGGAUUUGAACCAUGCAGUCGGACCCAGAAGCUACUUGGCAGAACUUGCUGGAAGCAGAUGUGGUCUUUGUGCCUCCUGACCUGGCUUCCGGUUGGCAGCUGACACAAGAGGUGUUCCAUGGGGGAACGUUCCCUGGGGAAUGACUCUCCUGUCACUUCAUCUUGAGGAAGGGGUUGUUCCUGGUAUGCGGAGUUUCACUGAUGUUGAGAGGGUGCUUACUCUUUCCGCCUGUAGGUUUCCUCGGAUUGGUCUUUGUUUAACUUGGCCCUACAUACUCACUCAGCUGGGCUCUCAGGCCCUCCUUUAAUGAGGCGGAGGCUCCCUUUGCAGGAGGUCAGGCUCCUGUGACCUCUUGCCUUGUCCUCUGGCCACACUCUCCUCCGCAGGCUGCCUCUGUGUCCCCAGAUCUCAGAUCCAGGAGCUGGACCCAAACCCUGUCGUAGAUGGCUGGAGAACCCUCGUGAGUCUCUGACCACCUGGGGCCACCAGCCCAGCUCUGGUCCUGUGGAACCUGGCCACAGUGGGCACAGCAUCCCAGCCUGGGGCUGGGUGCUGUGUCGUAUCUACACCCAUGCACCUGGGGCUUAUAUUUCAGGGAAGGGAGAUUCUGGUUUUCCCCAGCAAGUUUUAAUUCAGUCCCCUGGCUUUCAAGAGGGUGUGAAUACCGUAGCAUUCUGUCCUUGCAUUCUGUCCUUUGUAUUCUGUACUUAAACAAAAGAUAAAAAAAACGCUAAACUUUGCCUUAAUAAUGAAAUGAGCAGCAGUGAUUUAUUGAGCACAUACUAUGUGCCAAACAUUCCACAAACAGCAUCUCACUUAAUUCUCUUCACAUUUUUGAGGGGAAGGCUUUGGUUAUCUUGUUUUUAUGGUUGAACAACCUGAGUGCAGAGGGAUUAAUUUCCUCAAGGCCACACGGUAAGCAGUGGCCGAGCUGGGAUUUGAGCCCAGGUCAGUCUGACACCAAAGCUCCUAACCACUGUCUGUACCACUUUCCAUUUCUCUCCUUACCCAUCCUCCCUUCGUCCGGAAGUCCAAAACGUUGCACGGAUGGGUGAGAACUUGGACGAUUUGAGUGACAAGAGGAGCUGUUCCAGUGGCUCUUUUCUCCCUGCCCACGGUGUGCUUGUGGUUUCUUCAAUCUGGGACCAGGGAGACCUUGUAGCGUUUGUCUGGGGCAGAAUGUAAAUGUGUCACUUGUCUUUCUCGGCUCGACAGCAACAGCUCUGUCAUGUGCCAGUAUGCGUGUGCAUGCACGUGUUCCGCCCUUACUUGCUCCUCCUGACAGAUAGCUGGUCCUGUGCCUGAAAUUGAUUCAUUUCUAAUGAAAAACAACCCGACCUGAAGAUAAGAAUUCACUCAAGCAAGAUUGGAAGGAGAGAUAAUGUGGAGUAUGCAAUGAGUUCGUUUUAACUGGUGACUUAUUCCACCUAAGAGUUCUCAUGUGUCAGAAGGGAGUCUGGGUCUGGGAAAGGUAUGCAGAGGAAGCUGGAAAAGCCCCUGAGUUCUGCAGGGGAGCUGGACCUUCCUACUGCAAAAGCUUAGGAGCCUGGACCCUGGGCCAGGAGUGGAGGGUGGAGUGCAGUGACGGAUGCAGGCCUGGGGAGGGGGGCAGGGGCUUUCAUUCGCUAGUGAGUGGGCAUUUCCCAUGUGGGUGGCACCUGACUUUCUGGGAUAUUUUCUUAAGUUUGUCUCUGCAUUCUGACUCUUGAUUCCCCAAUGGAGGAGCUAGGCGUCUGCCUUCUCACCACCCCUGUGCAUGGAGUAGAGAGUCGUGACUUAGGCUCCUUUGAUGAGACACCGCCUCCCUUCCCCCACUCCCCCCAGAAACGGACUUUGAUCUUCAGGAAGGUGGCAUUGCAAAGGAUCCAUUUUCAGGGGCAGCAAUGGUUGGGGUCCUGGCGGAGGCAGCAUGUGGUCCAGGCAGGUGGUGGUGGCGGGGACAUCUUUGCAGGAAGCAGGCCUGUGGUAAUGCUUGAUUCUUAAUUGCUCUUGGUGGCAGAGCUUCCGUGUCUGACUCUCUGACCCCCCAGGAGAUUUGUGAGCUACCCCCAAGUCCUGUAAAUUUGUGGAGGUUUGCUGAAUGGCCCAGGAUACAGUCUAUCUUCAUACAUGGUCCGUGGAUGCUUGAGUAUUUAUUCUGCUGUUGCUGGCUGAAGUGUUCUCUAAAUGUCGAUUGGAUUCUGUUGGUUGAUGGUGGUGUUGGUUCUGUGCUCUUGUUGAGUGCUGUCUAGUUGUUCUAUCAGCUAUUGAAAAGGGAUGUUGAAGCCUCUACCUAUAAUUGUGGAUUUGUCUAGUUUCCCUUUCAAGGUCUAGUGAUAACAUUGCUUUCCAUAUUUUGCAGCUCCGCUGUUUGGUCAGGAUUCUUGUGGACUGAAGGUUUAAAAUCAUUAUAUAAUGUCCUUCUCUGUCUCUGAUCAUUUUCUUUGCUCUGAAAUUUACUUUAUCAAAUAUUAAUAUAGCCAACUGCUUCCUCUCGAUUAGAGUUGGCAUGACGUAUCUUCUCCCAUCCUUUUAACUUUCAACCUGCCUGUAUCGUUAUGUUGGAAGUGAGAGACCAUGUUUUCAAAUCCUCUCUGACGGUCUGUCUCAUUUAACCUUGUCUGAGAAUGUCUUGAUUUCUUAUUUGUUGUUUGAGGAUAUUUCUGCCGGAUUCUGAGCUGACAGGGUUUGCUUUAUUUAUUUGCUUGUUUUGUGUGUGUGUGUGUGUGUGUGUGUGUGUGUGUGUGUGUGUUGUGCUGUUUUGUUUUGUUUUGUUUUCCUCAGCAUUUGAAUAAUGUUGUACUACUCCCUUCCCUCUUCCACAGUUUCUAAUGAGAAAUACACAAUGAUUUAAUUGUUUUUCCUUUAUAGAUAAGGUGUUGUUUCUCUCCAGCUGCUUUAAAGAUAUUUUUAUUUGCCUUUCGUUUUCAGAAGUUUGACCAUGAUGUGUCCUGGAAUGGAUUUUUUUUUUUUUUUUUCACUUAUCCUGUUUGGGGCUUGCCGCUCAGCUCCUUGAAACUGAGGCUUAUGUCUUUUGCCAAAUUUGGGAAGUUUCAGCCUUUAGUUUCUUUGAAUGCUUUUCCAGCCCUGCCCUCUUUCACCUCUCCUUCUGGAACUCUGACGAUGUGAAUGUUAGAUGUUGUUCCACAGGCCCCCAAGGCUCUGUUGAGUUUUUCAUUCCAGCCUGUUUUCUCUCCAUUGUUCACACUGGGUUAUUUCUAUCAAUGUACUUUCAAGUUCAUUGAUUUUUUUCUUUCCUCCCUCCAUUUUACUGUUGAGCCCGCCCAGUGAGUUUUUUUUAUUUCAGUUAUUGUAUUUUUCAGUUCUAAAAUUCCAUUUGGUUGUCUUUUAUAUCUUCUAUUCACCAAAUGUUCUAUUUCUUUGAUGAAGCUUUCUAUUUUUUUUCAAUUAUUUCAAGCAUGUCCAUAAUUGCACGUUGAAGCAUUCGUAUGAUACCUGCUUGAAAAUCCUUGUUGGAUGAUGAUAACGUUUCUGUCAUUUUGAGAUUGGUCUCUAUAGAUUGUCUCUGUUACAUUCACGUUGAAAUUUUCUUGGUUCUUGGUGUGAACAGUUAUUUUCUAUUGAAACUGGACAUUUUUGUUAUUAUGUCUGAUACUCUGAAUCUUGUUUACAUUUUCUGCUUCGGCUGACUUUUUUUUUGACAUUGCUCUGGGCAGGGGAAGGAGUGGGUGCUGCCCUGUGACUGCCAGGUGAGGUUAGAAAUACAGACUCCUCAGGGACACCUGGGUGGCUUAGUCAGUUAAGCAUACGACUUAGGCUCAGGUCAUGAUCUUGCGGUUAGUGAGUUCGAGCCCUGGGUUGGGCUCCAUGCUGACAGCUCAGAAUCUGGAUCCUGCUUCGGAUUCUGUGCCUCCCUCUCUCUCUGCCCUCCCCUGCUUGUGCUCUGUCUCUUUCUCUCUCAAAAAUAAAUAAACGUUAAGAAUAUUUAAAAAGAAGGGGGUGCCUGGGUGGCUCAGUUGGUUAAGCGUCCGACUUCACUUCAGGUCAUGAUCUCACGGUUCGUAGGUUCAAGCCCUAUGUCGGGCUCUAUGCUGACAGCUCAGAGCCUGGAGCCUGCUUUGGAUUCUCUGUCUCCCUCUCUCUCUGACCCUCCCCUGCUCAUGCUCUGUCUCUCUCUCAAAAAAUCAAUAAAAACAUUUUAAACAUUAAAAAAAAUUUAUGUUUAUUUAUUUUUGAGAGAGAGACAGAGUGUGAGCGGGGGAGAAGCAGAGACAGAGAGGGAGACACAGAAUCCGAAGCUGGUUCCGGGCUCUGAGCAGUCAGCGCAGAGCCCGAUGCGGGGCUCGAACUCAGGAACAGCAACAUCAUGACCUGAGCUAAAGUCGGACGCUUACCGACUGAGCCACCCAGAUGCCCACCAAAAAAAAAAAAUUUUUUUUUAAAUUAAAAAAAGAAAAAAGAAAUGCAUACUCCUCACUUGGCCUCUGUUGUUACCUGACUUGGGGAGGGAUUCCUCAUUCUAGGCCAGAGGUGGGAGUUCUGGUUCUCUGUUAGGCCUUCACUGACAUCACUCUGACUGGGAGGGGUAGGAGUGCCUUGUUACCGCUCACACCUGUCUUCCACUGGACAUUACAGUAAAGAGAGGUGGCCUCAUUGCCUCUGGGUGGUGAUGAAAGUCCUGACUCUUCCCUAAGCCUUCUCUAACACCAGAGGGGAGGGAACGGAGCACCUCCAUAGUUGUAGGUAGGGGUGGAAGUCCAGACUCCCCAUGAGGGCUCCACUGACAUCAUGGGGGCAUAGGUGUUGUUCCCAUUUAGUGGGGGGGGGGGGGGGGGUUAGUUUCCAGCUCCUUACUUGGCUUUCUCUGACACCACACUGGCAAGAUGGUUGGGGAGCCUCAUGACAUUCCACAAGGGAGGAGUCUAGAUUCUUCACUCUGUCUUUGCUGGCUUGGGUAAGGAGAGGCACUUUUCUCCCCAUGAUGUUAGUAUGGAGUACGUGGUUACUGUCUGAGAGUUUUCUGUCUUCAUACCCUUUUCUGGCUAGAGAGAGGAGGCUUUUGUUGGGGCUUUUUCAUGUUUGGGAUCAUUUGCAUUUCUGGGCCACAUGUUUCUUCAGCUCCCAGUCUGGGAUAUAUGAGACAAAGAGAAAACCCAGAAAAUUCACCUCCAUGUCACUCCUUGGGUCCAAAGUCCCUCACCCAUCUGCCUUCCUCUCCCCACCUUUGAGAAUUUUCUGAUGAUUUUUUUUUAUACAUAAUGUCUAUGGUUUUUAGUUGUACUUGGUGGAAGGAAGAGAAAGAAGUAUUAUCUAUUCCUUGUUCCCAGAGAGCAAGUCCCAACAUCCUUUAUUAAACUGUCUUUCUGCUGAAACUGGCCACAGGGGGCUCUGUUGUUUGCAGUGUAGAACCCUUCCCUUUGAGAAGGACGGGGCCAAGUUCCCCCUUGAGUGGGAACACUGGUCUUGUCAAUACGUUUUGAGAAUUGGUAGUUCUCUUGUGUGUGAGUGGUUUUCCUCUGUUUUCUCCGAACCAUACAGCUUGUCUUCUGAACACAAACAAAAACUUUCUCAUAAUUAAAAAAAAAGUUUAUUAUGUUAAUAAUCUCUGCACCCAAUAUGGGACUUGAACUCAUGACCCCAAGAUCAAGUGUUGCAUAUUCUUCCGACUGAAGCAGCCAGGUGCCCCAAUAUAAUCAUAUAUAUAUAUAUAUAUAUUAUGUACUAUAUAUAUAUAAUCAUAUAUAUAUUAUGUACUAUAUAUAUAAUAUAUAGUACAUAUAUAAUUAAUAUAUAUACUGGUUAUAUAUAUAGGUUAUAUAUAUGUAUUAUAUAUAUACUAGUUAUAUAUAUAUAUAUAAUACAUAUAUAUACAUACACACACACACACAUAUAAUAAAAAUGUGAUCACACUGCAUUUUUUGCUUAGUAACCUGCUUUUUCACUUAGCCAGAUACCCUGAUAUCUUUUUACUCAAAUAAAUGUAGCUUAGAUCAUCAUUUUUUGAUGGUUACAUAAGGUUCCAUUGCAAGAGCACAGUUAUUUACAUAUCUGAUCCCUAUUGUUUCCAAUUUUUGUCCACUGUAAACAAUUCUGCAUGGAACAUCUUUGUAGAUAAUCAUUGGGUACUUGUCUGGUUAUCUUAAACUAACCCCCUAGAAAUGGAAUUGCUGGGCUGUAGGGGACACACAUUUUUAAAAAAGAGCUUUUGAUGCAUAUCUUUACUUAUCCUUUCCAUCUUGCUUCUAGUUGUAGGACCAUUGCUUGGUUCUCAUUCCCCUCGAGUUUUCUCAUUCACUAACAGGCAUUACCCCUUCAGUCUCCCCUCUGCUUCUCUCUGUCCACUAGUGCUAGCUUGUGGCAGGAUGAUAUGUGACAAAUCAAUGCCCCUAUAACACCUUCCAUAUUCCACUUGCUUACAUCCUGAGGCUCUUUUACCAUUCGUGGCAUGGUGGGACUUCCAAACUGAGAUGGCAAGCAGUUUUAAGUUCAACUGCUGAGGGUUCAGGUGGAAGAUUCCGGAAGUAGAUGUGAUCAGCCAUUUCCUUCCCUCACCGCUGACCUCUGGUCCUUAGGGGAGAAGAAAAGUAGAGAUGAAGUAAGAUGGUGAGAUAGGAGUAGGAGUGGCCCUAUCUCAUGUAUCCCUCCGCCCCACAAAAUGAAUCUUGGUCAGGGAGGGGCAUGAUAAAAUCUGCCUUGAAGUCAAGAGAACCUGUUUCAGGCUUCCCAGGGUGUUAUCUGGGGAGGCAUCAAGUUUCAGGUCAGUUCUCUAGUCAUCAUGGAAAGGCUACCAUAGAGAGGAAAUGGUGGUAUGAUGUCUCUGGUGAGGGGACAGUGUAGGGACAGCCUUCCAAUUUUCCCAGAGCCUUAGAGUGCUGAUGGUCAGAUAUCUGAGUGUCCCAGUGGCAUCAAGUUGGGGUACAGAAGAAGAGGAAAGAGGAGAGGAAAUAUAAGGAGGAGGGGAGGGGAAGGGGAGAAAGCAGGAGGGGAGGGAAGAGAGAGGAAAUGAGAAAUGAAGCUCAGAGGCCUACAAGAGCUCCUUGCCUGAAUGUUGUGGACCCCAUGGCAGAAGUUGAAGGGUGGGUCAUGCUUGCAAGCAUCUGAGGAGAACAUGGUUGCCUCUCAGAUAAUUUGUUAGCAUGAGACACAAGUAAGGAUCAGAUGAGUUACAUUUGAAGCCAGAGGUCAGAAUGGGACCAAGACAGAUGCAGACAGUGCAGUAACUUCUUUCUCAGCCUAGAUGCAGGGUCACAUCCCCAUAACACGCACCCACAACACCUGUAUGUACACAUACAUGCACUUUGAGCCCAAAUGGUGAUUAAAAAGCACUCUUUUUGACUUUGUUUACCUGCAAAUAACUAGAUUACUUAUGCUACAUUGGGCAGAAUAGGGAUCCCAGGCAGAAAGUACACUGUUUGAGAAAGGGGCAGGUGGGGGGGGGGGGGGNNNNNNNNNNNNNNNNNNNNNNNNNNNNNNNNNNNNNNNNNNNNNNNNNNNNNNNNNNNNNNNNNNNNNNNNNNNNNNNNNNNNNNNNNNNNNNNNNNNUUAAGCAUCCUACUUCAGCUCAGGUCAUGACCUCAUGGCUCGUGAGUUCAAGCCCCGUGUUGGGCUCUGUGCUGACAGCUCAGAGCCUGGAGCCUGUUUCAGAUUCUGUGUCUCCCUCUCUCUGACCCUCCCCCGUUCAUGCUCUGUCUCUCUCUGUCUCAAAAAUAAAUAAACGUUAAAAAAAAAUUAAAAAAAAAAAAGAAAACAUGUUUUCUAGAUUCAAGCCUUUGCAUAUUCCCUAGCAAAAUCUCCUUUUAUUUAUUUGUGUUACCUAUGUGCACAGUGAUUAUUGAGGUUUUUUUAAAAUCGCAUUUUGUUCAAACAAAAACAUUCAUAGAUGGCCAAUAUCAUGUAAAGCAAAUAAAAAUCAGAUCUGGGGGAGGGAGGAUGCUUCCUCUCAGUCAUCUGAGGUUCAUAAAGGGCCUCUAUGGAACCCUUGGGACUCAACAGAUACAAGGCUGCCAUGUAUGGAAUGCCAGUGUUGGCCAAAGUACUCCCUGGGAGCUGAAAUCUAGCUCAUGUACCACUCAUCAAGACUCAGCCUCUGGCACAGGGCUGUACCUACCUGGGGAUAGCAUUGCCUUUGUCUUUUUCCAAAGUGUAGUCUGCUUAUAAGCCAUGUGUCCAUAGAACAGCAUGUGUCAGAGAUGAUUUCUUCUCAAAUUCAGCCACCCAGAUGGGGCACCUUACACGGGCCCCAUAAAGGCAGCUAAUGGUCCUGCGUGAGCGUACUUUGAAAACAACAGUAAGUGUUUACCGGUACAUAGAAUUUGGCUUUCUAUUUUGAGUUCCCCGUUUGCUGCUAAAUUUCAAAACAAGUUCAGUACAUUUCCUUGUCCCAGACUUAGAACAUUACUGCUCAAGUGUGGGCGAGGGGCCAGCAGCCUUUUGGAAGAGCAGUAAAUGAUACUGUCAUUAAACUAUGGAGAAAUAUGCCAGGCAAGACUUUCCCUGGGUAGAAUCCCUUGUGAUUUGUUUUGGGGUAACUGUAAAAAUCAAAACUAGGAGACCAGCCAACCAUUUUAGUGAAACAUUCUAGUUUACAAUCAGGAAAUGAUGAUCUUGAGAAAUUAUGGCUUAUGUUCAAGGCCAUAAGAUUCUAGUUGGUGGAGCUGAGACUCAAAUCUAAAGCCUCCUGGCUAUGAUCCCAGGACUUUUCAGUUGGCUGUGUGAUGAUAGAAACCGUAUAGCCAAAGAAAUGAUGGGAUCUUCUUCCCUGGCCUCCUUCCUCCAAAGACAAAUAUUUACCAUUUGGAGGCACUCUAGGGAUGGCCCUACACUGAGGGAGGUGAAUACCUCACUCCACAUGGCAGCCUAGGAAUGUGCCAUCAUGUCAUGUCGAUGAAAUGGGUGGUCUCUAUAUCAAUAGCUUCUGCAGUGCUGAAACGCUUCCUUAUUCUGCUUUGGUGCUGAAUCAGCCACGGGAGUCAUGUCUACUUCCUGGGCUGCAAGAUGGCAGCCCCAAAUAACGACAAUAAUAAUAACAACACUAAUGAUGGCAAGCACCAUCAUCAUCUUGUUUGGUCCAGACAGAUCACCUUUGAUCUGGGGAUUUCUAAGCAUGUUGCCAACAUGAUCCAGCAGCUAGUGUCAUUAUCUCCCUUUACAGACAGAGAAAAUGAGGCACAAGAUGUUUAAGCUAGAGGCUCAAGGUCAUGCGAGGCAUCAUUAGUGGAGACAUGUGAGGAACUCAAGUCGUUAGCUCUGAAAUAAAAUCUGUAGGCACUUAACAGGCUUUAGGUUGGCAAUGGCUGCUCUUUAUGAGGACGGUAUAUUUUUAUAAACCAUGCCAUAAAACUGAAUACCGAUCAUUAGAUUUCAUUUCAAGCAUGUCUUUCACAAUCUUAAAUGCUGUGAGCAUGUGGCAGAUAGUCCCCUGCUCCAAACAGCCUGUUCCACACAUAGUCCUUUGUAAUACUCAGUGGAUCCCCAGUGGUUCAGGAAGGUGAACCCUCUCUACCAAGAAUCAAAGCUGGCAUUGUAUGACAGAAGGAACAUUGGUCAAAGUCUCAGGGAGGGGGGCCUCAAUUUAUCGUUUUCCCCCAGCAUUAUGGAGGUAUAAUUGACAAAUAAAAUUGUAUAUAUUUAGAACGUAAAACGUGAUGAUUUGACAUAACUUCUAUUUUGUGCAGUGGUUACCCCAAUUCUGUUAACUAACACAUCCAUCACUUCACAGAGUUACCUUUCUUUUUCUUUUUCUUUUUCUUUUUCUUUUUCUUUUUCUUUUUCUUUUCUUUAUGUGUGUGUGUGCCUGUGUGUGUGUGUAGAGAGAGAGAAUGCUUAAGUUCUACUCUCUUAGCAUUAUUUUAUUAUUUUUUUCUUAGCAAAUUUUAAAUACACAACACAAUAUUAUUAACUAUGGUCACCAUGUUGUACAUUAGAUCCCCGGAGACUAUUCGUCUUGUAACUGAAGGCUUAUACCCUUUGCCCAGCUUCUUCCCACCUCCUUAAUAUCUCAGUCCCUGAUAACUAUCAUUCUGCUCCAUUUCUUUAAGUUUGACUUAAAAAAUUUUUUUUUUAAUUUUUAUUUUUUGAGAGAGAGACAGAGUGAGAGUGGGGAAGGGGCAGAGAGAGAGAGAGGGAGACACAGAAUCCAAAGCAGGCUCCAGGCUCCAAGCUGUUAGCACAGAACCUGAUGUGGGGCUUGAACUCACGAACUGUGAGAUCAUGACCUGAGCCAAAGUCAGACACUUAACCAACUGAGCCACCCGGGUGCCCCCCCCUUUUUUUUUGGUUAAGAUUCCAUAUAUAAGUGAGAUCAUACUGUUUUUUCUCUGGCUAAUUUUAUUCAGCAUGUCUUCUAGGUUCAUCCAUGUUGUUGCAAAUGGCAGAAUUUCCUUCUUUCUCAUGGCUGAAAUAAUGUUCCUAUAUAUAUAUAUAUAUAAAUUUUAUAAUUGUUUAUUCUAUUUCCAUGAAAAACAUCAACGGAAUUUUGAUAGGGAUUACAUUGAAUCUGUAGAUUGCUUUGGGUGGUAUGGACAUUUCAACAAUUAAUUCUUCCAAUUCAUGAAUAUUUAUAUAUUUCUCAAUUUCUUUCAUCAGUGUUUUACAGUUUUCAGCAUACAGAUCUUUCAGCUCCUUGCUUAAAUUUAUUGUUAAGUAUUUUAUUGUUUUUGAUGCUAUUAUAAUAUUAUAAAUGGGGUUGUUUUCCUAAUUUCUCUUUCUGACGCUUUGUUGUCAGUGUAUAGAAAUGCAACUGAUUUUUGUAUAUUAAUUUUGUAUCCUGCAACUUCACUGAAAUGAUUUAUUCGUUCCAACAGUGUUUGGGUGGAAUCUUUAGGGUUUUCUAUGUGUAGGAUCAUGCCAUCUGCAAGCAGAGACAAUUUUACUGCUUCCUUUCUGAUUGGAUAGCUUUUGUUUUGUUUCGUUUUUCUUGCUUACUUGCUCUGCCUAGGAUUUCUAGUACUGCACUGAAUAGAAGUGGCAAGAGUAGACAUUCUUAUCUUGUUCCUGAUCUUAGAGGAAAAACUUUCAGCUUUUCACUGUUGAGUAUGAUGUUAGCUGUUGGGCUUUCAUAUGUGGCCUUUAUUAUACUGAAGUACCUUCCUUCUAUACCUAAUUUCUUGAGAAUUCUUGUCAUGAAAGAAGGUUGAAUUUUGUUAAAUGCCUUUUCAUCUUCUAUGUAGACGAUAAUAUGAUUUUUAUUCUUCAUUCUGUGAAUGUGGUGUAUUACAUUUAUUGAUUUGCAGAUGUUGAAUCAUCCUUGUAUCCCAGGGGUGAAUCCAACUUGAUCAUGAUAUAUGAUCCUUUUAAUGUGUUGUUGAAUUCUGUUUGCUAGUGUUUUGUUGAGGAUUUUUGCAUCUAUAUUCACUGGGGAUAUUGGACCAUAAUUUUUUAUUCUUGUAGUAUUGUUGCCUGGCUUUGGUAUCAGGGUGAUGCUGACCUCAAAAAGUGAAUUUGGAAGUGUUCCUUCCUCUUCAGUUUUUGAGAAGGGGUUGAGAAGGAUUGGUAUUAAUUCUUUUUUUUUUUUUUUAAUUUUUUUUUUCAACAUUUAUUUAUUUUUUGGGACAGAGAGAGACAGAGCAUGAAUGGGGGAGGGGCAGAGAGAGAGAGAGACACAGAAUCGGAAACAGGCUCCAGGCUCUGAGCCAUCAGCCCAGAGCCUGACGCGGGGCUCGAACUCACGGACCGCAAGAUCGUGACCUGGCUGAAGUCGGACGCUUAACCGACUGCGCCACCCAGGCGCCCCGGUAUUAAUUCUUCUUUAAAUGUUUGGUAGAAUUCACCACUAAAUCCAGGCCUGGGCUUCUGUUUGUUGGAAGGUUUUUGAUUACUGAGUCAAUAUUCUUACUCACUAUUGGUCUGUUUAGAUUUUUUAUUUCUUUGUGAUUCAGUUUUGGUAGGUUGUAUGUUUCUAGGAAUUCUUGGACUUCUUUUAAGUUAUGCAACUUGUUGGCCUAUAAUUGUUCAUAGUAGUCUUUUAUGAUUCUUUGUAUUUAUAUGGUAUCUCUUGUUACAUUUCCUCCUUCGUUUCUGAUUUCAUUUAUUAGAGUCUUCACUCUUUUUUAUUACUUAGUCUAGCUAAAGGUUUGUCAAUUUUGUUUAUCUUUUUAAAACACCAGUUCUUAGUUUUGUUGAUAUUUUCUAUUGUAUUUCUUGUCUAUUUCAUUGAUUUCUCCUCUGCUUUUUUUUUUUUUUUAAUUUCCUUCCUUUUGUUGACUUAGUUUGCUCUUUUCCUAACUCCUUGAGGUAUCAAGUUAGGUUGUUUAUUUGAGAUCAAUCUUUUUUCUUAAUGUAGGCAUUUAUUGCUAUAAAUUUCCCUAUUAAAACUGGUUUUGCUGUAUCCUGUAAGGUUUGGUAUGCUGUGUUUCAAUUUCCAUUUGCUUCAGGAUAUUUUUUUGAUUUCCCUUUUUGUUUCUUUUGUGACCCAUUCUUUGUUCAGGAGUGUGUUGUUUAAUUUCCACAUAUUUGGGAAUUUUCUAAUUUCCCUCCUAUUGUUAAUUUCUAGUUUCAUAUCAUUGUGGUCAGGAAAGAUACCUGUAUGAUUUUAAUGUCCUUAAAUUUGUUAAGACCUGUUUGUGACCUAACAUAUAAUCUAUCCUGGAGAAUGUUCCAUGUGUGCCUGAGAAGAAUUCAUAUUCUGCUGCUUUUGGAUAAAAAUUUUUGUGUAUGUCUGAUAAGUCCAUUUGGUUCUAAAAUAUAGUUCAAGUCCAAUGUUUCCUUAUUGAUUUUCUGCAUAGAUGAUGUAUCCAUUGUUGAAAGUGAAGUAUUGAAGUCCCCUACUAUUAUUCUAUUUUUCAAAUCUGUUAGUAUUUGCUUACACAGGUGAUCUGAUGUUGGGUGCAUAUAUGUUUAUAGUUGUUAUAUCCUCUUGAUGAAUUGAUCCCUUUAGCAUUAUAAACUAACCUUCUUUGUCUCUUUUUACAGUUUCUGACUUAAAAUCUGUUUUUCUAAUAUAAUUAUAGCUACUCUGCUCUCUUUUGCUUUCCAUUUUUCAUAGAAUAUUUUUUUCUCAUCCUUUCACUUUGCACCUAUAUAUGCUUUUAAAACUAAAGUAAAUCUUUUCUAGGCAGCAUGUAGUUGGGUCUUGUAUAUAUAUAUAUAUUUGGCCUCUCUAUGCCUUUUCAUUUGAGAAUUUAAUCCAUGUAGAUUGAAAGUAAUUAUUGAUAGACAAGGAUUUACUAAUUCCAUCUGAUUGUUUUCUGACUGUUUUGUGGUUCCUUUUUUCCUUUCUUUCUCUUUUGUGUCUUCCUUUGUUAAUUGAUGGCUUUUAGUGGUGGUGUGCUUUGAUUCCCUUCUCUUUAUCUUUUAUGUAUUUCAUAGAUUUUGUUUUGUGAUUAUCAGGAGGCUUACAUAAAAUGUCUUUUAGUUAUAGUGGUCUAUUUUAGGCUGAUAACUUUGAUUGCAUACAAAAAGUAUACCCUUUUACUCUCCCCCUCACAUCUUAUUUUUGAUAUCAUGAUUUACAUAUUUUUAUAUUGUCUUUCCAUUCACAAUUAUUGUAGCCAUAGUUAUUUUUAAUGUUUUUGUCAUUUAAUCUUUAUACUAGAGUUAAGUGAUAUACACAUCACCAGAUUACAGUAUUAGAGUAUUCUGAAUUGGCUAUACACUUACCUUUACUGAUGUGCUUUAUACUUUCCUAUGUUUUCAUGUUACUAAUUGGCAUCCUUUCAUGUCAGCCUGAAGAACAUGCAGCAUUUCUUGUAAGGCAGGUCCAGCAAUGAACCACCUCAGUUUUGUUUGUUUGGGAGAGUCUUUAUCUCUCCUUCAUUUCUGGAGGACAACUUUGCCAGGUAAUGUGUUUUUGGUUGGAAGUUUUUUUUUUCCUUCAGCAUGUUAAAUACAUCAUCCUGUUCUCUUCUGACCUGCAAGAUUUCUGCUCAGAAGCCCACUGAUUUCACUCAUAUGUGGAAUUUAAGAAACAAAACAGAUGGACAUAGGGGAAGGGAAGGAAAAAUAAAAUAAAAACACAGAGGGAGGCAAACCCUUUAAAUACAGAGACUCUUAAAUACAGAGAACAAACUGAGAGUUGCUGGAAGGGAGUUGGGUGGGGGGAUGGGCUAAAUGGAUGAUGGGCAUUAAGGAGGGCACUUGUUGGGAUGAGCCCUGAGUGUUAUAUGUAAGUGAUGAAUCACUAAAUUCUACUCCUGAAACCAUUGCUACACUGUAUGUUAACUAACUUGGAUUUAAAUAAGUAAAUAAAAAGGAGUCCACUGAUAAUUUUAUGGGAGUUCCUUUGUUUGUGAUGAGUUUUUUAUCCUCUCUUUCUGCUUUAAAAAGACUCUUUGAUUUUAGAUGGUUACAUUAAAAUGUGUCCUGGAGGAGAUCUUUUUGGGUUGGAUUUUUUGGGGGACCUAUGAGCACCAUGAACUUGGAUAUCUAAAUUUCUCCUCGGAUUUGGAAAUUUCUUAGCCAUUAUUUCUUUAAAUAAGGUUACCACCUUUUUCUUUCUUUUCCAUCUGAGACUCCAAUAAUGCAUGGGUUGUUUUGCUUGAUGGCAUCCCAUUAAUUCACAUAGGCUUUCUUCACUUUUUUUCAUUCUUUUGUAUUUGUUCUCCUCUAAAUGGAUAAUUGAAAAUGACCUGUCUUUGCACAGAUUCUUUCUUUUGCUUGAUCAAGUCUGCUGGUGAUGCUUUCCAUUGCAUUUUUCAUUUCAUUCAUUGUAUUUUUCAGAUUCAGAAUUCCUGCUUGGUUCUCUUUUAUGAUUUGUAUCUCUCUGUUAAAGUUUUUGUUUUACUUGUAUAUUGUUUUCUUGAUUUCAAUUGAAUUGUCCUGUGUUUUCUUGUAGCUCACUGAGCUUUCUUAAAAUAACAACUUUGGAUUACUUAUUGAACAAUUCAUGGAUCUCCAUUUCUUUGUGGUUAGUUACUGGAAAAUUAUUGUGUCCCUUUAGUAGUGUUAUAUUGCCUUGGUUUUUCAUGUUCCUUGAAAUCUUACAUAUACCAUCUUCACAUCUGAAGAAGCAGUCACCUCCUCCAGUCUUUACCGACUGGCUUUGGGAGAGAAAUACCUUCUGUCUCAGCCCUGCUAGGGAUUCUUUGCCUUUCUCAGAUCUUUUCUAGGGACUGACCUGCUUUACACUUCUUGCACCCUCCUGGUGGUAGGGGGAUUCUUAAAAUUGUAUGCCUUCUCUCAAUCCUGCAAAGCCAGGCCACCACGGACAGAUUCCCAUUUGCUUACCCUAGGACAGUGCUUAAUCUCAACUUUCUCCCAAUCCUGCAGAGUUGGGCUGGCUUUCUCUGCAUGCUCACUAGCUGUCUACAAAGGCUUGCCCUUGCUUCCUUCAUAGGAAGCCAGCCAUUGGGUGGGGGUAUGUGUAGGUGGGGUGCGUAGAACAUUGGGGGCGCCUCUGGGACAGUUGGGGGAAUAUGCAGAUGAGACAGUCCCAGCAGCUUGUUGCUAGGCUUCUUGAUGGAGUCUACAAAAUGGUUAGUAGAAUCCACAUUCAGGAGACCUCAGUUUGAACUACAGCUCUGCCUUUACUGCCUGUUCCACCUUGGAGAAGGGACUUAGAUUCACUGGGCCUCCUUUUCAUCUUCAAUUGUAAUGGGAAAGAGUUGCAUUAAAUCAUUGAUGCUACAUUUUAAAAAUGAACUCAUGGUUGUGUGGCAAUUCUUUCUACCACAUUUUUUCCUCCAAACUUCUGAGGUUUCAGAGAAUCUGCCAUCUCUCAGUUUUGAGUCUUUGGAAUGGUCUACAUCGUCUUUGUUGCUAUGCUAUCUAUUUUCAAAAGCUUUCAAACUUCUUAAAGCAACAUAGAUCCAGAGUUCAGUGAAGGAAAUAGCCACCCCUCCGUGUAUUUCAAGAAGAAAGGAAUUCAGUCCAGGGAAUUACAAGCUUAUAGAACUGUUGUAAGAGCUGGAGACGUGGAAAUCUAGAGAGUUCCACUGGGGAGCACUAUUUCAAAGUGAUCCCAUUGUAGUUGUGAUCCAGAGAUUAGGAAACUGCUGCCCUGGCUGCUUUCACCACAAGUGCCUCUGGCACCCAUGAAGCUCGUGACUAAACUCUGGAAUGAGGAGUCCAGUGGCCGAAAUGGCUCUAAGCAUUCAUGUUUCUACUAUAAUGCUGCUUCACACAAGGGCAUUAUUUGGGGAAACUAAUUUAUUUCUAGAACCAUACCUUCAAAGUGUCUGGGAAAUGUUGAUUUUUCCUUUCUAGCUCUCGAGUUACAGGGAAUGGGAAAUUAGUGCCAACAGUCCUAUUCAGCAUGAACACUUGUUCAGAUUUCAUCUUACAUGAUGUAUUAGUCAGGAUAGGCUCUGUUAUGCUGCCGUAAUAAACAACCCUAAAAUUUCAGUGAUCUAAAACAAUAAACAUGGAUUUCUUACUCACCAAAUAUCUGUUGCAGGCUGGUUGACCUUCCUCAAAGGUGCACCGUCUAGAACAAAUGACUUUCAAGACAUUAAGGCAGGGGAAGGGAAAGGUAGAGGGGGCACAUCAGCUAUUAGCUGCUUCAGCUCAGGAGUGGCACAUGUCACUUAUGCCCACAGUCUAUGGCCAGAGCCAACCCUAUUGCUGCAAACUAAGCUGGGAGGCAGGCUAGAAAAUUAGGAGAGUACCUAAAAUACUUGGUGAAUACUUAUUUUCAGUCAUGGAAAAAAGGGAACACUUGAGUUCUAAGUGGGUUGAUCCUGCUGUCAGUCUCCCUUUCCCUCUGUGAAAGCCUCUGAAGACAAAGAUCCCAGGGCUCCUCAAAUACAGAUGUGCCUGCCUUACAUAAUUAAAAGAGCUAUAAUCUAGAUAUCUGUAUGGCAUCCUUGAGGAAUCAGCAAAAAGAUUUCCUUCUCCAUAAAUAUCUCUCUCACUGGCCUAAACUAGCACUUAAAACUUCCACCAUUGACAUUACUUUUUGUGUACUCCCUUAAAGAUAUGCAUAUUUAAAUAAGUUAAGGCAAUUUGUCAUCUUGGAUUGCACUGGAACACUCUCAGUGAGCAGGGAGCAGGGUGUGGGAAAUGGACAGGAGGCAUGCACUGAGGCAUGAGAAAAGUAGACUGAUGUCAGUGGAUUCCGUAGAUCAGCAAGAGGGGCUUGAGGAUGGAGAGCAGGGGGCUGGAAGGGAGUAAGCAAGGGACCCCAAGGACGAGGAGAAGGGGGCUUUAGGCAGAGUCUCCACAUCACAUCUUUGCCAAGGGCCUGACUUAUUUUGGCCUCUGGGGCAGCCUUCCCCAACUGCAUCCAGUAAGGUCAUAAAUGUCUCUUUGAACUGAGCCUGCUUUUAGAAGAUAAAUUCAGAAAUAUCUAUCCAACUAGACUGUGGUGAGCAGAAUGAGGCUGAAAUGGAAUACUUGACUCCCAAGUCCAGGGCUUCUGGACAGAGUCUGAGUGUUGACUUUAUUUUUUUUAUUUUUUAAAAAUAUUUGUUUGUUUAUUUAUUUUAGAGAUAUAGUACAAGCAGGGGAGAGGUAGAGAGAGAGAGAGAGAGAGAGAGAGAAUACUAAGCAGGCUCUGCACUGUUAGCAAGAGCCCCAUAUGGGGCUCAAACUCAUGAACUGUAAGAUCAUGACCUGGGCCGAAAUCAAGAUAUGGUCGCUUAGCCUAUGAGCCACCUCAGCACCCCCCAAAACUGACUUUAAAUAAUACUUACUGGCACUCCUGGGUACGUUUCAAAUACAACUGUGUGAUCUUGAGCAAGUUACAUGACAUUUCUACAUUUCUGGUGUGAGGAUUAAAUAAGAAAAUGCAUUUUAGGCACUUAGCAGAGAAUCAGAAGAUCCUCAGCAAGCAUUGGUGAUAAAACCAAAUGUAGAAUCCCAUUUGGUCUGUUCAACAAACCUGGUGGAUGGGAAGCAAAGGGGUGAUGGUCAGUAAGAGAUGGCAGUGUCCCCAGGGACCAGCAAGAGUGAGAAGUCUUUCCUAGCCCUCGGCAGAUGAACCCAGUGAACACUGGAGCCACGGGAGAUGGGCUGUCUCAUGGGAUCCAUGAUCAUGGCUCAGGGGACACAGCUACCGAGACAGUCCUGGCCCAGUAGUAAGGGAAUGAGGGCAAUUAAUUGCUCAUCCCUCUCUUCUCUUGCCUCCCAAUCUCCUCCUGACAUCUCCCACCAGCUGAGCAUCACUAGAAGGCAGAGGGUAAAGGAGGCUGGGAAUGGAGUCCAUAGAGGUCAACUUCUUGAGGCCCAUAGUACAGCCUGGUCCACAGAAGAGAAUUUGCAGAGCUGGGGAGCAGAGCAGAAUCAACCCCAAGCAAGAGGCUCCUCAAACUCUCACAGCCAAGAAACCAGGACACCCCUCCCCCCAGCAGUUGCUCAAACAUGGGCUGACCCUCUCUUUGUUUCUCUCCCACAGCAGUGGUAAAGAAACCAUGGACCAAGUGGGCUGUUGGGCAGAGGAGUCCCCACGCUAUAACAGGGAGUAGAGGAGAUACCUGAUUUCUUUGGCUUGUCUUUCCCAGAAGAUGAGGAGCAGGUAUGAACCAGCACUCUCCCCCAAGACACAUGUCUCUCUAUUCAUGGGAGGAGUAGAGCAGACUCACAUUUGUCGUUGAUGACACAUGGCAUACGGAGUUGGCCCUUUAUGUAUAUUGCCUCUUUGAAUCCUUAGGUGAUUAACUCGUGGAAAUCAACAGCUCCAGGGCCAGCUACCAUUGGAGGGGACAGUCAGGCCUAGCUCUUAGAAACCUGGUGACACUUAGGAAGUUUGACUGCAAAGCCUCCCCUGCUCUCUGGCUCUCUGAGACCCACCUCAGCCCUGUGGGCCAAGCACCCAUGUAUCUCUCCUAUCAGGAGAAAAUAAAGUGUCUGGUGAAGUUAUUCACUCCAGGUGUUAGGAACUUAAUGCAUAAUACCUCCCAGGAGAAUGUGUAUUUCUCAGGACAGCCAGAGAGUGGGUGGUACUGAACCAAAAGAGUGAAUCACUAAUAGUGGAAUCCCAGGCAUUUGAGGAGGUCAUAUUUCUUGGGUGGGUUCCUUCCUGACAUUGUUUAUAUUAUAUAAAGUUGACAGCCACCUAUUGUCCCCCUAAAGGAGAUUGUCCCUAUGGGUGCGGUGAUGAUGAGGAAAGAGAAGAACAUUCAGGCUGGAGCCAGGGUGGUCUGAUUUUCAAAAACAAAUCUGUCCCUUAGAAUGAGAGGUGGCUUAAACACUCACACAGCCUCCCCAAGCGUGGUGAAGAGAUCCUGUCUCCCCUCUGUAACCAGGUUCUCUUCACCUGGAACGUGGUGCUGUCAUUAUGCAAUGUCCCUGUUGGCAGAGGUGUUUGGGCCCCUUGUUUUCAAGUCUGUGCCAUUUCCAAGAAGGAGCUGUGGCCUUUGAGUAGGACUGAGCUACUGAAUAGCAGCCCCAGUGCCAAGUGAAGGAGCCAAGAAGAGGCAGAGAAGAGAAAGUCACGACUGUCACACAAAGAUGAGACAGCCGCCCCCCAUGGUAGCUGGAUGGCAGUCCUGUUGUCCUGCAGCGGCCUUGGGGGCAGAAUGGGGUCAAAGUCGGGCUGCGGGCAGAAAGAAGCCAGGCCAGGCCAAGCAAGAGAGAAGGGCAAAGCCCCUGGGUGGUAGGAUGUGAGAAAAGUUACUUUCGUCAGGAGGGUAUCACUCUACAUUCAAAUCCAGCGCCCCAUGAAUUUAUAAAAGCCAGGCUCAAGGAAAAGUUUUUCCUAUUAGACUUAGUCACAUCAUCAAUAACAAUAAUCACUGUUACUAUUUCUUAAGUGUUUAAUCCAAAGCCAGUAUGGAAGUUAUCGAUUGAAGUCCUGACGAAGGUCUAAUCCGCUCACCCAGCAUGUAUUUAUUGAGUUUCUACUUAAGUCAGGCACUACCCUAGGCACUUAGGGCAGACCAAAGGCUAGGACAGACAAAACCCUGGUCCCGGCGGCAGGGCCACCACAUGCAAUUAACAACACAUCACUCUAGGGGGCACCGUAUGAUGCCUGGGCUACUUUGUGUAUUGAGCAGCCUGGCGGCCCCUGUCUGCGGUGCUCUCAUUCUAGCAGAUGUAAUCGAAUACCAACAAGGUGGGCGAAAUUCUCCUAUUACAGUUUGAGACACAGAGGGCUAAGUAACUUGCUGAGUUUUUCAGCCCCAAAGGACUGAGCCACAAUUUAUACCUAAAGACCUUGCAGUCCACCUGUGCCACGUAUGUGCCAUUCUCUCCCUGGUGGGUGUAGAGAUGAAGGUGUAGACAGGCUCAUAGAGGCAGAGCUGGGUUGGUUGGCCCAGUAGCAGUACUGUGUCCUGACUGGAUAGACUGGAACCAGCUCAGCGGUAACAGAGAAUCUCUUGGGGAAGGCUGACUUAACUAUAGGAAGGUUUGAUAACAUCAGCUGCCUUCAUAGUAAGGGUGGGGGGACUGGCCUUUUUAUUUUUAUCAGCUGGGGACUUAUGUGGAAAGGUCCAUCCCUGGGUAGACCUUGCUGUCUUGCAGGGCCAGAGGCAGCUAUUGAUUCUUGCACGUAUUUAUCGUUUAUGAAAUAUCCUAGUUAUAUUGGCAGAGAAGUUGGUCCAGGUUUGUAAGGGUAGGCUCCAAACUCCUCUGGUUGAGAAUGGAGUAGGACAGGUGCCCUUGGACAGGUUUCCUGAAUAAAGUGAGCAUGUGCAGCGAGAACGGAGAAGGUGCUCUCCUCUGAUGAGCUCAUUCUGCUAGGGUUGGAUCUAGUUUUCAGCGAACAGCAUGAGUCUUGCCUUUGGACCAGACUCUGUGCUACCCCAGUCAUGAAAGGAGGACAGCCACAUCUACGUUCUUCUGCCUUUUGUCCAAGCUUCUGUCUUGAAGGAAGAAAGAUGGCCUCUGGUUGUCGUCCCCUCCUCUUCUGCUGGGUAUCCCUUCUCCCACCUUCAGGUGCACCAGUGUGUGGCUUCUGAGCCAACCUUCUGAGACCUGAACUGGGCCGCCAGAGAUCUAAUGGCUGCUGCUUUGGCGUGGCAACCCUUGAGACUUGACACAGUUUUUCGUUAGCCCCCUGGAGAAAUGGAGAGGCUAAAGCAAUAGAGGACAGAAGGUUAUUUGGUGCCGGAGACUGGGAAAAGGGGAAAGGUAGAGGGAAGCUCGGUGUCCUAAAAACAAAUUUCACCCCCUCUCCGUUUUACCUAAGACGGGUGUUGCCUAGACAGCGUAAGUUCUGUAAAAGUGAUUUUCGUGAUGGUUUGGGCCAGGGGUGACAAACGUCUGGCACAUUUGCUGUCAUCUGUCUUCUCCCCACACCUUCUCCUGGCCACUGGGAUGGUAGUUUCAGACCCUUCUCAUUUUUUUUUUUAAUAUAUGAAAUGUAUUGUCUUCAGACCCUUCUCAAAUCAGCAUUCCAUGCAGGCUCCAUCCAUCAUAGUUGGCCUUUGAGAUGAAGUCCCCUCCUUGUGCCUGUUUAGAGGCCUUUUGCUGUGAGUUCUUUAUGGUAGCUUUUUCCUGAGGUAUCUUCUCUUAUUGUUGUGUCUUUCGCAGAACCUGGAAAGUCCGAACACAAUUUGGUGUUGACUCACAGAAUGUUCUCUGAAUCGAUGACCUUCGGUGUGUGCCAAAGCUGACUGAUUCACUGGUCUCUUCCCCCAACCAAGCUGGUUCUCUGGGCUCGGCAGGAGUCCUGACUGAGACCUCUCCUUACUCCAUAUUCUCUUUAUUACUAAUGAGGCGUGGUUCCUUAAUUACUAGGUGCUGGAUACCAGAAUUGAUUUCCUUUGUUUCAGUGAAUUUAGGAAAAGACUUAUGAAUAUUUCUUGCGCUUGACAUGAACUGCUUGAUUUUUUUUUUUUUUUUCCGGCCUGCAAAGGUCACUGAAGGGAGACAAGGCAAAGUGACGCCUAGAGCAUCAACAAGUAUGAAAUUCACCUUUAUCAUUGAAGCAUUCAGAUCCUUUGAUACACGUUCCCUGGACACUCUGCUGCCUUAUUUAAAGUAAAAAACAACCAGAAUGUGGGAGGUGCCCCAGGUAGCUCAAUAUUCUGUGAGCUAAAUGAGUGAUAUCAGUAUAUUAAAUCACUAAUAGCCCUCGUUGUAAAAAACUGUUCCAACAUAGAUGAGCCUAAAUUUCCUACCUUAGGGUGUCCCACCUCUUGAACAUAACUGACUCCUUAAUGAUUCAGAGUUUCAAAGCCUCAGGGUCCUAAUCCUGAGAAGCAGAGACUGGGGAAAUUUUGCUGAAGUUUGUUGGCUGGCUAUGGGAUCUAUUAAGAAAUUGUCUUUGUUGGUAUUAAAUCCAAGACUUUUUUUUUAAACCAUUUUUUUUUUUCUCAUGAAAACCGUAAAGUUAAUGAAGGUAGAAGCUGGUUAGAGUUUCAUUUAAUGGAUAAGCUCUUUCUCGAAGUCUUGGAGCACUUAUGUCUGAGGGCAAAAUGUUUAGUUGUGAUGAUCUGUGUUGGCCAUUCCAGCACAAAUAGCCUGAGGUUGCAAUGGUUAGAAUCAUCCACACUGUCCCUGCCAAAACACGGAUCCUGGCAGGUCACCUAGCCUCUGUUGGCCUCAGUUUCCUCCUCUGUAAAAUGGGCGGAAUAAUCAGGCAAGGUGCAGUAUUUAACCUAAGUGAGGAAAGUGGAUUAUUAUUGCCCUAAAAAACCUGUAGAAAGACAUUAAAAAUAUUUUUAUUCAAUUGCAUGUUGAAAUUUAUUUUUAAAAUAGGGUUUGUUGACGCAUCUGGGUGGCUCAGUUAAGCGUCUGACUCUUGAUUUUGGCUCGGGUCAUGAUCUCAUGGCUCACGAGUUUGAGCCCCGUGUAGGGCUGUGCUCUGACAGUGUUGAGCAUGCUUGGGAUUCUGUCUUUGUCCCUCUCUCCCUCUCUCUCUGCCACUCCCCCACACGUGCACACUCCCCCCCCACCCCUGACCAAAUAAAUAAAUAAACUUAAAAAAAAGAUAAAAUAGGAUUUGUUGAAUGGGUGAUGGAUAUUAACAAGGGCACUUGUGAAAAGCACUGGGUGUUACAUGUAGGUGAUGAAAUCACUAAAUUCUACACCUUGCCAAAAUGAAGCUCUCUACCCAUUAACUAAUAACUCCCUAUUUUCCUCUUCCCCAGUCCCUGAUAAACACCAUUCUAUUUUCUGUCUCUAGGAACCUGACUAUUCUAGAUGCCUCAUAUAAAUGGGACCGUUUCUAGUCAUUUUUAUAAAUGGGUCUUCUUAAAAAAUAUGAACUUAGCCUAAUGAAUAUGUAAUUCAGCAUCCUGAUUUCUUAACAUUUUAAACAUCUUAUAAGAUAUUAUAAACAUCUUUUUGUAUUGCUACAUCCUCUAUAUGAACAUACCCACAAAAGUUGGGCAUUAUCACAUUGAGUGGAUAUAUCAUUCAUUAUUAUUCCUCCAUAGUUUCAACUGCUUGCUAUUUUAAAGAAUGUGUUGAAAACAGUUCUGUGUAGAGCUUUUGUCAUAUUGAGGCUCACGGUCUUUAGGGCAGAUUCAAGAACUUAAUGACUGGCUUGAAGGGAAUGAGAACAUUUUCAGGCUCGUGAUCUACAUUACCGAAUGGCUAGGAAAAAUUUUCAGAUGAUGUCAUUGACAGCUGGGUGGGCUUCCUCUGGGGCUGUGAGGUCCUAGUCUCUUAGGACGGUGACCGCUUGUAGGGUUGAUUCAAGCACUGACUGUGGUGGUGGGAGGGGCAAGGAUAGUUCCAAAAUUCCUGUGUGGGAGAGGGUUAGACAUGCUGAUGUCUUCAUUAGGGGGGAAGCAGAACAUGUGAAACAAGCCCUGUUUUCCCUUUCAACGUGUGCUUUUUCGGAGGCAGCCUGGAGGUGUGCUGAUGGCGGUUAUGGAGAGUCUAGAGCCUUCUCCCACCCUAAACCACCUUUGGCUCCUCCAGCUGGUGGGAUGGGCACUAGUGACCUUUUAAAUCUUUCCCAUCUCUGUGUUUUUGUGAUUCCAGGGCUCUGCCACUGUGCAGGUCCACUGGCUGGACUCAUCCACUUUAGUUUUCUCAUGUCAGCGUGGGUCAUCCAAACCUCUCUUUGGUUCUGUCCCAAGUGUCACAGAGAGGUGGACCCACCCUCUCCCUUCCCAGGAAAGCCCGUGUUGCAAUGAGCACUCCUGUGCUUCUCCCCAGUGCUUUCUCGGUAGCACAAUCGGAUGACACUGCUCUAGCUGCCCUCAGCUGCCCUCCGAGAAGACGUCACAACCGCGAAAGAUCCCAAUCAGUCUGCUUUCUCCCUGUGGCACUGUGUGCUUUGGCUGCCUGGCCAGAAAGCUGGGCCUAUUUUUACCUAUCAUUCUGAUACUAUCUCGGGUAUAAUUGGAAUUGAGCUCUCAGUGUGGAAAUUCUUACUCAGAACACAAAGGAUUGAAGAGAACUCGGAGGCUGAACUCUGGAAGGACUCUUGCCCGACUCCUCUUGGCAGAGAUGGCUCUGGUUUCUCGGAGCGGUGGUAUGGCCAACAGGUGGGUGUUGCCCAGGAAAUUGUUUUUUCUGCUUUCUCAGUAGCUAUGGGCCAUGGGGAACACUGCCAUUUCCGGCCUUCUCUGCAUUAUUUGAUGAGAAUGCAGGUGAACUGCCCUGUGGUUUAAUUCCAAUGGCAGAGCAGUUAGCAUUUGCUGGUUUUUCUUGUCCCAGUGGGAACGCUGGUUUGCAUCUCACUGUACUUCCCUUGAGAUGUUGUGUGGGGUCCUUUAACCUGCAACGUGCCCCUCUGAGUGACGCCCACCCAGAUUCCAAUCAGAUCUAAACCAAUGGUCUCAGCCUUGAGAGCUACCUGUGUGUGUAAAGGCCUACAAGUGCUGCCCACACCAGCAAUAUCAGCUGAAGAGUGUUUUCAAGGGACAUCAUUUCAAUGAUCCGUGACAUCUGUUUCUUUUCUGAGUUUUUCCCUGCACAGCUAAUGCAAUGAUUGUUUUUAAAUUAGAACCUCUUUUUUUCUGUCAUUCCUGUUAUUUCUUAUGUGAGGUCGAUUCUAACAUAAUAGCAAACAGUGGACGCACAUUUCCUAGACAAAGUCAUGAUUUUAUGAAGACAGGAAAGGGCUUAUGAUAAUUUCUGUGAAAUCCAUGUUUGAUCGUUCUUCUCCUUUCUCAGCUGAGAGGUGAGUUCUGACAGUGCUCAGUACAAAAAAGAUAAGGUUGUGAUUUUCUUUUUUACAUUUUAACUAUUUUUAAAUCUUUACUAUGGAACCAAAGCAGGCAGAAGUGGAAUAACUCAACAUACCCUAGAUAGCUACCUCCAAGGCUCCGUGUUGAUCAACCUUUGGCCAAUUCUGCCUCUUCUGAUCUCCAUCCACUAGCUGACUCCAGAUUCCUUUGGAGCAUAUCUUAGACAUCCUGUCAUUUCACACCUAAGUUUUGUACUAUGUGGCUCUAGAAGAUAAACAUUCCCUUGAAAAGUCUAUCUCUACUUUUUAAAUGGAGAAACAUGUGGAACAUUUUCAGAGAGGAUUGAGAGAAGGGUGAUUCUCUCUUUAAUUAAAAAUUGAUUAAACUAAGCCACAUUAAUUGUUACUAGGACAGACGUAUUAGGAAUAGGAAUGGGAAUAGAUACAAUUAAAGUCAUUCAGAAGGAUAUGUUGUAAUUUUUUAGUCACUUGUUAAAAUCAAGGCUUUAUUCUGCAGACACAAUUAUUCACUUGGUUCAGAAUUCUAUACGUUGAAUGUAUCUCACCAGAGGUAAGCUCAGGUCCAACUGAUUGACUUUUCCAUUUGCGUGACGGUGGGUUAGUCAUGUUAGCUUUGUCUAGAUGUCUCCAAGCAUUUUUGACUGCAUACUUCUAUCAGUAAAGAAUUAAGCGUGUAUCCAUAGUAUGAAUUAUUAUUUAGAAAUCGUCUGUAUACUCUAUUAUGGUGGUAAGUGAAGUAUAUUGUAAACCACAUAUAAAAUAGAAACUAAAGAAUUAACUGAUAAAUAGGUUAUCUGCAGGUCUAAUAGGUACAGCAGGUCUAAUAUUUUCUUCCUGCCCUCAGUGGAUAUUCUUGUGCGUGCCCCAAUUUGAAGACAACUGGAGAAGGCAGUGCUAGGCAAUAUACAUCAUAGCGAGGUAUCAGUUGUCAAGCAGGACUGCCUGGGUUUGAAUCCUGGUGCCACUGCUCCUUAGCUGUGUGAUUUUGUACACAUCACUUAGCUCCUCUAAAUCUGUCCUCUCAUUUGUAAUACGAAGGCAUUCAUGCCUUAUAGGGUAUCGUAAGGUUUAAUCCUUGCACAGUGCCCAUUGUGUGGUAAGCAUUCAAUACAUUUUAGCUAAUAAUGAUGACGAUGAUAAUGCAGUCCUAGAGGGCUGGACCAAGGUUUGGCUUCCUCUUUUUACAGAGUGCCUGGCACACACUUAUUGGCACUUAUUUCAGUGUUCGGUGUGCUGAUGGUGGUGUGGGUGAUGACAGUUACGGGGAUGGUCAUACUGAUGAUCAAAAACACAGCGUACGUAUCGUCACUCGCUCGAUUUUAUUUGCAUUGAUGAUGAUGGUGACAGUAUGAUGACGGUUACAGGGACGGUCACAUUGAGAGUGGUGAAUAUGACCAACAGCAGAAGCCCUUUUGCAUUCCCUACUGGAACUACAUCAUCAGUGUUUGCGUUUGUCUUUCCUAAGAAUUUACCCAUCUGACAAAUAUGUUGACUAACUUGUUUUGCUGUCUCCCUUCCUGGCCUCUCUGCCCUGUUGAUCUGUUGUGCUGUUCUGCCCUCCUCUUGUGCUCUCGUGUCUCCAUCUCUCUGUAGAGCCUGCUGUUCCGCUUGCCCACACACAGGUCCAGGAGACGAACCAGCCCCUGUUCAGUGCAGGGCCAUUUCUUUGCCAGUGGCUAUUUGGUUCUCAUGUCAAAGAACCUGCCUAUCAGCCCCUGAGGACUAUGGGUAGUGCUAGAACCUAUGAAGUGUGGCCCUUUAUGGCCUUAUGCAAGACCACAUGGCCUUUAUGGUCUGUGUCUUUUCAGGUGUGAAAAAGGGCAGAUGUGGUAAGAAGUAAACUCAUCUGCUUAUCUGCAAAUGCCCAAACCUGAUCAGGCAGAGGUUCCUGGAAUGCUCUUGUUCAGGAAGUCUGCCAUCCAGCUCUGUGCCUCUGCUUCCCAAGGGAGGGAAGAGGGCUCCUGAGAAGGGCGGGAUCCCCACUGGCAUGAGAUCUCAAGAAAGCUCUUGAGGAAGGACUUUCUCCUUUCCAAAAUCAGGACAAAGGAAGGCUAGGGUUGUGCCCAGUGGUGCCAAAAGUAAGGGUAAUUACAAUAAAAAUUUGCCUUAGGCUCUUUUUCUGGGGGCUUGUGUUUUUCCCAUGAACCUCGUUGGCUGGGCUUUUGGGAGAUAUGCCCCACCCCCUCCAGGAGUGGUUCAGAUUUUAGAUGUUUAAGAAAUUCAAAGGUCUGAGGUUGACAUUUCAUUGGAAGCACCCUGAACUCUUUCAUUCUAGAUAUUGACUUGGGAAUUAAUCUCUUUAAGGAAUUCCAAAUAGAGUGGCACCUCAUACCCUUCCAUUUUUAAUCUUUGUCUAUAGACCAUGUGGUAUCUACCUCUAAUAUUCUGAAAAUGAGUACUGACACCUAAGAAUAUAUGUUUAUCUCUUCAUACUAAUUCUUCAACUGGGAUGUUGGUCGUGUCUCAAAAUGACUAGAGUAUGGAGUAUGUGAUUCUGUAGAAUGAGAUUAUGUGCUCCUAAAACACUAGCUAGGGGGGAAUUGCUCUUUAAUACAAAUAUUCUAAUGAUUUCAAAUACUUUAUCAGUUUGAUACUUAAUUCUAAAUAUUCUUGGGGUUAAAAUACACUUAUCUAAUAACCAAACAGUCAUGCUAUUCCAAACAGUUUGGGAUUGCCUUCCCAUCCACGGUUUUGGAAGUUUCCUUGGCUGGGAGACUCUAGGCCAGGGAAGAGAAAUAUAUUUCUAUUUGUGACUCUGAUGAAGUGGACUGCAUCCUUUGGAUAGUCACUCGAACGAGCACUGGUCACGGGACUGAUUUCUCAAGCAGAGGUGAAAAUGAAAGCCAGGCUGCUGUGUGGUUGGAGAGAUGGAGCUUGCGUCCAUACUUAGGAGCAUUGUUUGGGCUAAACAUGGCGGACUUGCCAGUCACAUGUAUCAUCUCCCUUUUCCAAAUCCAACCCCUGAUGAUAGGAAAGAAUAAAAGAGAAGAAAUAUGUCCAUCCACUGAUGAACAGAUACACAAAAUAUGGUACAUCCACACAAUGGAAUAUUAUCCAGCCAUAAAAAGACAUGAAGUCUACGUCUACAAAAUGGAUGAAUCCUGAAAAUGUUACACGAAGUGAAAGAGACCAGUCACAAAAGGUCACAUAUUGUACGAUUCUGUUUAUUUGAAAAGCCCCAAAUAGGCAAAUCCAUAGGAAUAGAAAGCAGAUUGGUGGUUUCCAGGGGAUGGGACCGAGGAGAAGCAGGGAGUGACUGCUUAAUAGGUAUGGGGUUUCCUCUUGGGGUGAUGAAAAUGUUUGGAACUAGAUAGAGGUGAUGGUUGCACAACAUUGUGAAUGCACUAAUUGCCACUGAAUUGUAUAAUUUAAAAUGGUUAAAAUGAAUUUUAUGUUGUGUACAUUUUACCUUGAUAAAAACAGGUAAAGGGGCAAGAGGAGACAUCACUGCAGACAUUUCCCAAAUUUUGGAAUAUGAAAGACAUUUGAAGAGAUGGCAAUUGACUUAACAGAGUGGAGGAAGCAAUAACCUAAGUGACUAAGGGAGGAGGAUAGGGGGUUGGUACCAAUGAGAAAUGAGCCACAUUACUGGUCAGAACCAUAGAAAGGCUGAGGCUUGGAGAUACCAGGUGCUACAGUAGGUAGCAAUAAACAGGGAGAUUUCUUGAAAUUCAAGAUAUAGAGAAUUUGGAUGCUAAGGUCUUUUUUUUCCCCUAUGCCAAGCAGCCAGGAGAUCCUUUCCUGCCCCUUUCUCUGAGUUGGAAAGACCUAGCGACAGUCAAGCGCAGGGUGGGAUCCCAUCUUAAAAACAAGGGAGAAGUUCAAGUUGACAGGUGAGACACCAGCUGUCUUUAGAAUGCCCACAGCCAGGAUUGAACCAGCCCCUUAGAUUAUCCUGCCCCAAGAAGAAGACUGGAAUAUUCCUUUCCAAAGAAACUGACUAGUCCAAAAGAACACACCCAUUUUCUUAAUAAGACCCUUAUUUGGGGGACUUCCUCAGUAAAAAGGCAGCUCACUACAUCAGCUCCUGGGGAUGCUUCUGGUCAGGGUCCACCAUGAACCCAGACCUUCUAAUUGGUUGUAUGAUACUUUAGUUUUAAUUAUGGAAAGACAGGCUCACUUUUGAUGAAGCUUCUAAUAUGAAAGAGAGAAUAAAAUAAAGAGGAAAAAAAAAACCUUGGUAGUAUAAACAGAAAAGAAACUUGGCAGGAAAAGAAAAUAAGUUAAAAAACAGAAACUUUUAUAUAAUUAAUACCCUUUGGAGACAUAAAGAGAAUAUUGCAUCCCUGAAAGAAGUAAAAGUUGCUAUGGAAACAGAUAAAUUAGACGAGAGAAAAGAGCUCCUGGAAAUUUAAAGAGUGAACAACAAAAUAAAAGUGAAAAAUUAGACAUAAGAUUGGAAGAUAAUGUUGAAAGAAUAAAACUUCAGAUUUCAAAAACAAUGCAGAAUCAACUUGGGAGGUGGUGUGCAACCAGAAGAAAUUUCUGGAGACUAGAGGAAAGGGAGGGAUCUAUUAUGUGUCUAUGAGUCUACGUGUCUAUGUGUCUAUCUAUCUAUCUAUCUAUCUAUCUGUUUUUAAAGUAGGCUUCAUACUCAACCCAACAUGGGGCUUGAACUCACAACCGUGAGAUUAAGACCUGAGCUGAGGUCAAGAGUUGGAUGUUUAACUGACUAAGAAAAGUUUCUGGAACAAAAGGCCAUGAGGUUUCCAGAUCGAAAAGAUUCACCUUGUAUUCAGAAAAAAACGGAGUAAAAAAACUCCAUUGAAACCCAUUCCUGUGAAAGUUUAGGACAAGAAGACCCAAAAUUUUUCAGAGGGUAAAGUGGGUCAUAUACAAAGGACAUGGACCCAGAAUGGCAUCAGACUUCUCUUGGACAAUACUGAAUGCUGAAAGAAAAGAAGCAAUGCCUUAAAAUUUCCAAGAAAAAAAAAAAGAUUUUUAACCGGAAUUCUAUAUCCAGUUCAACCAAAAUCCUGAUGUAAGGGAGGAAUUAAAAUAUUAUCAGACAUAGAAGGAGUCUAAAAUUUUACCUCCUAUGCACCUGAUCUCAGAAGGUAUUGGAAAAUCUACUUCGCCAAAACAAGGACGUGUAUCAACAAAGUAGAAGUGGGAUCUGGGAACCAGGGAUGCCACACAAUACAGGGCACAGCCAGGGUGUGGGGGUGGGUUCCCAAGAACAUGGCAAGGAUGAAUGGUUCUUGAAUGGACAGCACCAGAGGAAGAAACAAAAGGGAUAUUUGACCACCUUAAGCAUUUGGAAAUAAUAUUCAAAAUCUGUAUAACAGAUAUGUCACAACAUUUGUAUAAAAACAGAAGACACAAAGAAAGUCAGACAAAUGAAGAGUAAACAAGGCAAUGCUUAACUCCCGGAAAAACAAAAAUAAAAAAAGCUUUCAAGAAAGGAAAUGCAGGCUUCUUGGUUGGCUCAAUCAGUUACGUGUCUGACUCUUGAUUUCUGCUCAGGUCAUGAUCCUGGGGUCACAGGAUUGAGCUCCACGUUGGGCUCUGUGUGGCGUGUGGAACCUGCUUGGGAUUGUCUCUCUCUCCCUCUCUCUGCCCCUCCCCUGCUAAUGCUCUCUCUCUCUCUCUUUCUCAAAAUAGGUAAAUAAACAUUAAAAAAAAAAAAAAGAAAGGAAAUGCAGUCAUGGUAUACCACCUGACUAAUUGGUGGAUAAUAAUGUGCAUAGUCACUGAGUUUGGUUUGACCCCAAGUUGUGACAUUUUGGAGGAAAGGGCAGGGACAGUGGGGUAUAAAAGAGCUAAAUCUAAACCUUCAUUGGUGAUAAUGUCUAAAAUUGACGUCGAAUGAUGGCAGCACAGGGACAUUAUUUCGAGAUGGGGUUGCAAAUACCAGAAGAAAAGCCAAGAGAGGCAAAAGUGCUUGCCUCUGCAAACAGAACUUAGCAGGUGAUGGCGGGGGGAACGGGAACUUGCUGUUUCCUUGUUGUUAUCGUGACCCUUUUGGUGCCAUCAACCAGGUUUUCAAUAAUGUUGAAAAUGUUAAAAACAUGUAUUUGUAGAAAAUAAAAACUAGUUUAAAAUAUUUGCCAUGGUGGAGGGUGUCAAUGGAUGAAUGCCAAGACUAGACAGUUUUGGUGACUUCCCUGUAUUCGCACCCCGAAUGAGCCCAGAUAAAAAUGAGUGGCAUUUACUGGACAUUUAUAAUAUACUAGCCUCUCCGCACCGUCUCCAUGAAUGUUUACCACAACCCUGUGAAGGAGGCUCUUUUCCUCUCUUCUUUCCCAGAUGAGUAAACCCAGGGAGGGAAGUGACUUGCCCAGGGCCCUGCGGCCAGCAGCCUGGAGGUGUGCAACUAGGAUUCAAACCAGGUCUAGGAGACCCCUCGCCCCGUGUGCUCGCCAUUGCAGUUUUGCCACCUGGCCUUGUCCUCUGAAUCUUCGCGAAGUGCUCUUAGGGCCUAAUUGUCUGCACCCUGUGCUGAAUGCUGUAAAGGUGAAUCACGGUGGGCACAGCGCACCAUGACUCCUGUUGAGUGUAACAGGUCAGAAAUCAUGGAAAUGCACACCCAUUGCCCAUUGACUCUGUGCUGGAACACAGUGAGGGGGUGGUGCAGAGAGCGCCUGGGGGCCUGUAAUUUGGGGGACCCGGAUGUGAUUCAGGGGUGGGGUACUGGUGGGCAGGGACGUGAGAGAAAGAAAGCUGCUCUUCUGGGCCAAACCUAUCCCUCAUCACUUAAUCCAUCACCAUGGAACUCCCCUUUCCCCUUCUACAAUCUCCCUCCAAGACCCACUUUCCAGUUUCUCUUUGUGUUCAAAUCUGAUGUUCUUUUUCGAGGAGUUGAUUUCAUUUUCCUCCUGUAUAAAAUAUAAAGAUGGACUUACUUUUAUUUUUUAUUUUUUUAAUUUUUUUUUCAACGUUUAUUUAUUUUUGGGACAGAGAGAGACAGAGCAUGAACGGGGGAGGGGCAGAGAGAGAGGGAGACACAGAAUCGGAAACAGGCUCCAGGCUCUGAGCCAUCAGCCCAGAGCCCGACGCGGGGCUCGAACUCACGGACCACGAGAUCGUGACCUGGCUGAAGUCGGACGCUUAACCGACUGCGCCACCCAGGCGCCCCUAGGUGGACUUACUUUUAAUUGAGAAAUACAGAAAAGCAAAAAUAAAUCACUCAAACACUUGGCCACAUUUCCCCUUUGUUUCUUUAAAAUUCAUUUUUAUUUGUUUUUUAAUCAAACAAAUACACAUUUAUAGCUUAAACAUUCAAAUAGUGCCCCAGGGUUAUAACGGCCAAGCAUAGUCCUUCCUAGCUCAGCACUCCAGUUUUUUCGGGUGCUGCUUCUGGUCAUUAUCUCCAUUGUUCCCAACACGUUUAAAUGACUUUUCUUAUUGAUUGAUUGAGUUUAUUGCCAUUCAAAAUGAGGACUUGGAUCAAUCACUUAUGGCGCCUUCCUCUCGCUGUGCCCACUUUCCCCAUCUGUAUUCACAGUCCUGCCCGUCUGCCAGGGAGUAAUAUCACCAUGUCGAGUAGUCAAGAGUCACUAUUUAUGCGAUAACUACGCAGAAUGUUCACAGCUGAGCCACUUAAUGUACUAGGAGGAGAUAUUAUUUCUUUCACCAGUCCUCAUCCUCUACCCCCGCCCUCCACCUCCCCCAGCAUGCACAAUUACAUUUUUCCUUUGCUUGAUCUUCCAAGUACCUGUCACUAAUUUUUCUCUCAACUCCUUUCUCCAAAUCUCAGUAAGACUUUUUUUUUUCCCUCUCAAUAAGAUUAUCUCAUCGGGUAGCCUACCAGUUCCACCUUUUUCCCUGUAGACGUCUCUCCCAGAACCUUCCACUUGGUGGUCAUCCCUACUGGCUGCUCCACUGUCUUCCUGGGAUUUCUGACCUUGCCUCCAUCAUCCCAGGAAUUCUGGUCUCACUGUUCCUGUGUUCGAUCACUUGUGUCCUGGAUCCCAUGUUUUUCUGUCUCUUGAGUUUAUUCCCUUCGUUGGGUCUAAUUCACCACCUACGAACUUCCUAAGAAAGACUGAAAGAUAAGUUUUUUGAAUUCUGGACUGAAUUUUGAAGUCACCAGCCCAGAAGCCUUUAUUGCUACACCACGAUUCCCCUUGCACUGUAGAUAGUCCCCCUUCUAUGUCCCCAGCUCGCCGUGCACCCAUCCCCCAGGACAACAGUGUUGAGUGUCCUCGUUUGGCACGAGGCCACUGCCCAUGCCCAGUAAGUGCCAAUCAACAGCACCUGUCUUAAUAAUACCUUAGCCUCAACACCCAAGGUUUCAGUUGUAUUAAUCACCUAAUAAAGAAACCUUCACAAGUGCUAAUUACUAGUCUAGUCUUCAUAUGAGGCCCAUUUAAAGAGGUGCCAUUUUAGAAGCUGUCGUGCUGACAGUCACUUAACAAACGUUUAUUAAAUGUCUACCAUAUACAGGACACCAUGAUAGAGCUUUAACAUUUAGUCCUCAUGGCAAUCCUGCGAAGUGGGCAUUAUUGCCAAUUCUAAGUGAGGGAACAGUUUCAGAGAAUAAAGCUUCUUCAGCUAGUCAUUCACCACAUUUACUGAGAACCUACUAUGUGCUGGGUGAGGAGGAUACUGUGAGGGGCAGGCCCACAUGUCUCUGGCCUCUCGGAGAGUCUAGGUGAGCCAAAGGAGACAGACAUCAAGCAAAUAAUUUUACAAAUAGUUUAUUAAAUACAUUCGAGACAAGUGCCAUGAGACAGAAGUAUGAAGUGCCGUGUCCCCUAAUCUGGGGAAUUGGAGGCUGUUUCCUGGAGGCAGCAUAGUAGGUCUAUAAGAUUAGUGAGAGUUGGCCAAAUGAAAUGAGAUGUCAGGAAGAGAGAGAGGGAGGGAAGAGCAGGAGCUAAGCCUCAGGGGUGAGAAGGGGUUUGCAGAAGUGAGGAACUAACAGGCCAGUGUGACCAGAACCGAGCGGAAUGAUGUGGCAUAAAGCUCAGUGGGGACACGUCAAAGAGCAGAUGGUGAAGGGUUUGUGUGCUGGGACCUGAACACUCUCUCUGAGGGACCUGAACACUCUCUCUUGAGGACAAAGGGAGGCAAUGAAGAGUUUUGAUCAAUGGGCAUGAAAUGAUGAGAUUUAUUCUAUAAAAACUCCUUGUGGUUGUUAUGGGGACACUACAUUGGAGGAGACAAGAGUGGACAUGGGGAGAGCCAAGGAAAGGCUGCUCCAGAUGUCACAACCGUGCUGACAGCUGCUUGCAUUAAAGGGGGUGCCGGUGGAGAUGAGGACAAGGGAGGGACCCAGGACGUCUGUGGCAAGAGGCUUGUUCAAGGUCACAUGAAGCAGAGUCGGGAGCUAAACCCAGCCCUUGUGGUGGAAAGGCCAGCACUCUUUCUGAUACAUGAGAACCGCUUCUUAUUCUGUGCAAGGGUGAGAGGGUACACACGCAGAUUCUCUCCCUGGGCACUGGUUGGGGAUGCCAAGUUAUAACCCAAUAGUCGUGAAGAAUCUCUUCCUUGUGCAAUGAUAGAGCUCCUAAAUUAGGCUGUGUAAUAUGUCCGUCAUCUGGGAUAGAAGAAGAAAACAGUCACUGCUUUUAAGAGCGUGCACAUCCUAAUAAAGGCUAUAGGAAUGUAAACAGGGUCCUCAAACAAUACUAAACACGAGGGAGUUGUAGAAGCUCUAGAAUCUCACACAGCUCUUAAGAUCACAAUCCCAGUGCUACACUUUUUGACUCUUUGACUACACUACACCCAGCAAUAUCUUUGUGGUCCUGGAACCAUACAUCCUCCUAAACAGACUUAAAAUAACAUCACUCUUGGCCUUACCCUGAUUCUCAAUCCUGGCCAGAAACUGUGUUUCUCGGAAACAAUGGUGACAUAUUUUGAAAUUAUUUUAUUAUGUUUUAAGUCUCACUGUUCUCCUAAAUAAUUGAUCUUCAUGGAUUUAUUGAUCAAUGCUUAAAAACCUCAUUAAUGAACUUCUUGGGCACAGGACCAGUAGGUGUGAAGUUUGAGAAUUUAACCAACCAUAUGACCUAAAUUCCCUGCAACAUUCUUAGUUUCCAUACAUAAAAACCAUCUUUAGAACAUGUACCAAAUUUAAGCUUGAAAAUAGAAUUCACCUCCCAGGCAAAGUGUGUAGGAACUUAAGAGUACAGCUAACCUUUGAAAAAUAGGAGUUUGAACUGCAUGGGUCCACUUAUAUGUGGAUUUUUUUCCCGAUAAAUACAGUAAAGCACUGUGAAUGUAUUUCUCUUCUUAAUAAUCUUAAUAUUUUCUUGUCUGUAGCUUGCUUUAUUAUAAGAAUACAGCAUAUAAAGGAUGCCUGGGUGACUCAGUUGGUUAAAUGCCCAGCUCUUGAUUUCAGCUCAGGUCAUGAUCGUGGGAUUGAGACCCACAUAGGGCUCCAUGCUGACAGUGCAGAUCCUGCUUGGGAUUGUCUCUUUCCUUCUCUCUCUGUCCCUCCCACUGUCUCUCUCUCCCUCUCCAAAUAAAUAAAUAAACUAAAAAAAAAAAAAAAAACACACAGUAUGUAAUACAUAUAAACUAGAAAAUAUGUGUUCAUCAGCUGUUUAUGUUAUUAUGGCUUCUGGUCAAUAGUAGGCUUUUAGUAAUGUUUUGGGGGGAGUCAAAGUUAUAUGUGAAUUUUUGACUGUGCAGGAGGUCAGCACCCCUAACCCCCAUUGUUGUUCAUGGGUCAACUGUGUGUGUUUCCAAUGGAAACUCUGGAGUUCAGUUUCAAAAGGGAGGCAGAAACCCAUGGACCUAAGUUCCUAGACUAGGAAGUCUCUUGCAGAUGCCUUGAGAAUUCAGGUUGUGCCCUUUGGGGACACUCUCCUAGCUGCCAUAUGGAUGGGGCAGGGCUGAGUGAAAAAAAGUAUUGUUUAUGGAACAUGAUUUAUUUUCAAAGGUUGUAAAACUCCGUGUUACCUGGCCCAGGCCUUAAUGAAAUAGUUUGAAGAACACGAAGAAAGUACACAUGAAGUUCAGUGGCAAGCUGGUAAAUAUUUAUUGACCUAAAGAAUGUGCAAAUGUAAUUUAUAGAUCACAAAUGAUACAAUAAUCUUUAUUGUAAAUUCCUUAUAGCUAGUGGAUUCCCACAGAAUGCUUCUGAUUUUUGCUCUGGGCUCCUAUAUCCAGAGUGUAGCCAAUCUAUUAUUUCACUUGAUGAACAAACUCAGUACCCACAUGAAUGUGGGUUGAUAUAACAACAAAGCUGUAUGUCGGGUGUUCAAUCAUUUGUCAAUGAUAAGAGCAAGUUCUUUGCUGAACGAAAUGAUACUUUUCAAAUAUUGGAGGAAUACUUCCUCAGGUUUUUUUGCACCAUUCAUAAUGUAUUGAAUGUAUUCAACCUUUACAGUAAAGUACUGUAAAUGCACUUCUCUUCUUAAUCAUUUUCUUAAUGUUUUCUUUUGUUUAGCUUGCUUUAUUGUAAGAAUACAGUAUAUGAUACAUAUAACGUACAAGAUAUGUGUUCAUGGCCUGUUUAUGUUAUUAUGGCUUCUGGUCAGUAGUAGGCUUUUAGCGAUGUUUUUGGGGAGUCAAAGUUAUAUGUGGAUUUUUGACUGUGCAGGGGGUCGGCACCCCUAACCCCCGUUGUAGUUCAAGGGCCAACUGUAUGUGUUUCCAGUGGAACCUCUGGAGUUCAUUUUGAAAAGGGGGGCAGGAACCCGUAGAUCUCCAUAAACACAUUUGAAAAUUUAAUCAGCAUUAUUAACAUUUUUUUCCAUCCCUUUCUUAAAAGUCUUGACCAGGGACCAGUAAACUAUGGCCUGCAGGCCAAAUCCGAUCCCCCCAACCUCUCUCUGUAAAUAAAGUUUAUGGGAACAUGGCCAUGCCCCAUGGUUUCACAUAUCGUCCGUGGCUGUUUUUGUCCUACAGUGGCAGAAGUGAGUAGGUUAGGCAGAGACUGGCCACAAAGCCCAAAAUAUUUACUCUCUGGCCCUUUACUGAAUAGAGUUUGCCGACUCCAGGUUUGGAUAGUCAAUAAAACAGGAAAUCAGGCCUUGAUCCGGUGCUGUUUGCUGAUUUCUGUGGUAUAACUACUCCCACGGUGGCUAAUUUCACUCUUGCAAGGCGCCAUCACCAGCCACAGAGUCGGGAAGAUUGAACACCCAACAGCGGCUCUAGCUGUACGGCCACAGUACAUAGUACAUAACUUCAAGAGCAUCCAUCACGGUAAAAUAAUGAAGAGCUGAAGAGCUUUGAGUAUUUAUCUUUGUUUCUAAAUAUAAUCUAUUUAGUUAUGAUUUAUAUCAUUGAAUUUUUAGUAAUGGUUGUGUUUAACGACAAGUGGUCCUCAAAGUUUCGGAGCACGUAACGAUCCCUCGGCAUGAGCUGGUUCGAUUGCUUUCCUGUAGUGCCCAGCCAUCUUUUUCUCCCCCAUCUCUGGGGGACAUCCCCGUCUUCCCAGCACACCUGGCUCCUGAAGUGUCCUGUGCCCUUUUAAUGACCCUCUGGCUGUCCAGGGACCCCCGUUUUUCCUGUCUUUGAUAUCUUGCUCUCACACCGCCCCAUUCCCUCUCAUCUGCAUUCACAAUACUUUGAGUUCUGUAGGAGAACUGGUCUCAGAUAGCUGACAGAAAUUCACAACAAGGGAUAGCUGAUCAAAUCUUGGUGGUUGGGGCGCCUGGGUGGCUCAGCUGGUUAAGCGUCCGACUUCAGCUCAGGUCAUGAUCUCACGGUUCGUGGGUCUGAGCCCUGUGUCGGGCUCUGUGCCGACAGCUCGGAGCCUGGAGCCUGCUUCGGAUUCUGUGUGUGUCUCUUUCUCUGUCCCUCCCCCAUUCGCACUCUGACUGUCUCUCUCUCUCAAAAUAAAUACACAUUUAAAAAGUUGGUUGUUUCAAUAGGCCUGGAAAUGGCUGCAUUUAAAAAAAAAGAUUCUUGUCGACCCAAAGAUUCUAGAAUCUGAAUGUCUGGUCACACUGCAGGUGUAGGAAGUAUCUUUGGAAUUCUGGGGUGCCAACAUCUCUCAGUCCCGGGCAGGAGGUCAUCAUCUUCUCUACAGGGAAGCACUGGCCCAGACGUGCACCUGAUGGCUCUCAUUUCUCUAGACAACCUUUUCCUCUUCUCUCUUGGCUUUAGCCCUUACCCUCUCUCCCACUUGUCCUCUGUUUAAACCUCACUGUUGUGGCUGAGGUGAGGCAGGUGUUAUAUAGACUAGGCGGGGAGAGGAUCAAGAAAACUACAGCUGUUUGUGCUUAUCUAGAACCUUCGGCUCCUGCCUUGUGUGGUCGUGGCUGAUACUUGACAUAUCUGGUGUUUCGUCAGAAUUAGUGUGUUCUCUGUUCCGGCCAGCUCUGCCGUCUGGCACCUUGGCGUGUUGUGACGGGUAGAACUGCCAAUGGGAAGACAACAUAGCCAUUGAGAAGUAGGAGCUUGAGUGAGUCUAGGAGAUGGGGGGUGAGGGGGCGCUCCCAUACAGCCCUUAAGCUGGAGUGGGAGGACAUGGGAAGUCACGGCACAGAGUAUAAGAAGUGGGGUGAAAAUGCAGGAGGAGGGAGUUAGGUCAGGCUCUGGAAUGAUGGCAUUAACAAACAAACCAGAUGGAGGAAAAAGGCAUUUGUGUGUCAACACAUAUUUAUUGAGUAUCUUCCAUGUUUCAGGGCUUGUCUAGGCCCCGGACUACAGCCAGGGAAUAAAAGGAAGCCCCUGUUCUAGGUCGCUGACAUUUCUAGUGGGGUGGGACAGAAACAUGGCAGAAGGUAGCCUCAGAAGAACAGGAUGAGAGAUCAGGUGAGGAGCGAGAUUGUGGAGCGACCAUGGGGGCGAGAUAAGAAUCUCUUGGAAGGUUUUGAGCAGGGGGUGUUACAUUCUGACUUGUAUGUCAAAAUGGCAACUCUGAGUUGAUUGCUUUUCAGAAAGCCCAGGUAAGAGGCCGCUGCAAAGUCCAGGUACAGGUGGUUGGGUCACAAGGAGGUGGUGCGAAUCCACAAAUUCUGGACAUGCGGUGAGGACAGAUGGGUCAUGGGCUGUGAAGAGAAGCAGAGGAAUCCUGGAAAGACUCCAAAGGUUUUGGCCUGAGGAAGUAGAUGCAUAGGACUUCCAUUUACUGAGGUGCAAGGCAUAGGGAGGGUGGGGUGGGGGUUAGGGAGGAUCAGGAGUUUGGGGGUGGGCAUGAUAGUUUUGAUGGCUUAGUGGAUGAGGUGCAGAUGUUGAGUCGAUGGCUGCAUCUAUGAAUCUGGAAUGCAGAGGGAGAGGACGAUGCUGUUGGUAUAAGUCAAGGAAUCAUUUAAAGGCACGAGGCUAGGUUAACUAACCCAAGUGUCGAGGGAGAUUCGAUACAGAAGAGAACGGGUCUGAGGAUGGGGCUUUGGGUCUUGAUGUUCAGAGGUGAGGACCCAGCAAAGGAGAUCCUGUAUUUCUAAAAUGAGAAGGCAUGAAGAAUCCUCUUUGUCAGGGCAUUUACCCAAGGGUUACCUGGAAAUGGCCUAGGGGGUGGGGAGAUAAAAGGUCCUCCUGACAGUCCCCUGGACCCAGGCUGGUGGCCUGAGCUAUAGCGAGGAGCUCUGCUUCACCCCACUUUCUCAGAGAUGGUGACACCUGGCAAAAUUUCUCUAAGUCAAUUUUAUUGAUUUAUUUUUCUCUUGAAGUCAAUUUGAAAUUAAAAGGCACGUCAUAUGGCUUUCCAGUGUGUUCUACAGUGGAGCAAAUAACAAUAGGAUGUGGUAGCCACGAAAAGACUGGGUGCUUCUGAAGUUGUCAGGCUGGAAGAACAAGGAGCGGGUGAAUGCCGUCUUGCUACUCCCUAAGUAGAGAAGCCACAGAGGGCUGUGUUGGGAGCACUUUGUACCUUGCCUGGCCCACACUGGGUUAAAUAUCGUUUUCUCCUUCCAAGUCUCUGCUGACUGGUAGCUGUGUGACCUCAGGAAAAUUGCUUAACUUCUCAGAGCCUCUGUUUCCUCAUUGGUAAUGACUAUUCCCCCAAAAGGUGUUUGUAAAGAUUGAAUAAUUUUAUUUUUUUAUUUUAUUGUUUUAAAAUAUUUAUUUAUUUUUGAGAGAAAGAGAGAGAGAGAGAGCACACAGCAGGGGAGAGGCAGAGAGAGAGAGAGAGAGAGAGAGAGAGAGAGAGAAUCUGAAGCAGGCUCCAGGCUCUGAGCUGUCAGUACAGAGCCUGAUGUGGAGGUGAAACCCACGAACUUCUAGAUUAUGACCUGAGCCGAAGUUGGACGCUCAACUGCCUGAGCCACCCAGGCGCCCCAAGAUUAAGUAAUUUUAAAUAGAUUGAAGCCUGUAGUGAACUGCAAAGUUAUAUACAAAUACGAGGCAGAAGCGGCUGUGCCUAUAAGAAAAUAGCUCAAUUUACACAAUAAUAGAUUCUCACCCUUUGCAUAAAUACAGGAUUUCCAUACUCAGGUCACCGGAGCUGGCCUUCUUCAGCACGCAAGUAUUCCAAUUAGACAUGGAAGCACUCUCCACUAUUAUGUCAUAUAUUUCUUGUGGGCUCAGAGAGAGAAGAUGAGCUUACUAGUCAUGCCCUGUUGCCAUCACCGACUCCUGAGUUGGAAAUAUAAAGAAUUCUCAGCUCCCUCAUCUAUCUGUCCAUGCUCUUACCUCUGGUGUCCAAUCUGCCUCCUUUCUAUGCCGAUUGCCGGUUGAAAGUGCCUCUGGUCUUCCUCUUCUGAAUUCUGUGAAAUCAAUAAAAAGCAAGAGGCAGCAUGCAGGGUGAAGGUGAUCCUGUCUGUGCUGGCCUCAAUUAUGGAGUCAGUUUAAGCUCAAGUGUGGGGUGAGCAUAAGCCUGGCGGAGGGGGUGUAGGGAGGGUGAGGGCUGAAUUACAUAAAGGGUCAGGAGAUCUGCGUUCUAGCCGUGACAUUCACAAACCGUCUCUCUACAGCAUUUCCAUUAGUCGAAGGAAAGGAAUUGGAUCCCAGCUCUUCUAGCUCUUUUCUCUUUGGGACUCUGACUUCACUUGUUUGGAGACUCAGUCUACUUAUUUCAGCAUCGUUCCACUAGGUGGCGAUGUUUCCUUAACCCCCAAGCAAGUUUUCAUUCUGGGAAAAAAGCCGAGUUUCGUAGCCAGUUUUUUUUUUCUCCCGUGAAAGUGCGAAAGAAUGAUUCUCUCUCUCUCUCUCUCUCUCUCUCUCUCUCCCUCCCUCCCUCCCUCCCUCCCUCUCUCUCUCUCUCUUUUUUAAAAUAUAAGAGGGGAGCCUGGGUGGCACAGUCGGUUGAGCGUCCGACUUCAGCCAGGUCACGAUCUCGCCGUCCGUGAGUUCGAGCCCCGCGUCAGGCUCUGGGCUGAUGGCUCAGAGCCUGGAGCCUGUUUCUGAUUCUGUGUCUCCCUCUCUCUCUGCCCCUCCCCCGUUCAUGCUCUGUCUCUCUCUGUCCCAAAAAUAAAUAAACGUUGAAAAAAAAAAUUUAAAAUAUAAGAAUGAUUCUCCAAAGCUGGGGACGAAAGAAGGAACUUUCCUUCUGAACACCUCAGGCAGUUUAUGCUGGAAACAGACAGGGCCUCUGUUUAGAGAUUCCUCCUCUCUGCUGGGAGUGGGAACUCAGGCUAGAGUUUUGCAUUCUGUGAUUGCACAAGGGCUGGGGGCGGCGGAGGGAGGGGAAGAGGCGGGGGCUGGGAGACGUUGGAAACGCUGGGUCCUAGGGAGGUUAGGGGGCGGUGGACGGUAGGCACGAGCUCUGGGCCCGCGUGAGCCCUGCAAGACUCUGCCCGGAGAAGCGCACUGGAUGCCAACUUUUCCGGGCUCCGCAGGAGUAGGCAUUGCCAGAUGCUCCCACCAGGGGCUAGGACGGUCCUCCCAGAAUCGGACUGCUUUGCUCAUGAAGGUCAGAGAUGCACGAGGGCAGCAUGAAGCCCAGCCUCCUUCUCAUGCAGAUGGGGAAGCUGAGGCCCAGAGCGGGUCAGUUCUCCUAAUGCUACCUCCCAGCCAAAUUACUUUGUCCUUACACAUUUCAAAUAGACUUGCCAACUGUCUCAUCUUGAGCGUGCAGCUAGCGCAUCUAGUAGUUAAUUAAGCCUGCGAGCCUCCCACCCGCCGAGCCCUUGCACCGUGCACACCAGGACAUACUGCACCGGAAGAGUUGGGGUGAUUUGCUCAAAGACCUCAAACAGAACACCAAUCCAGUGGGGGAGACAACUCAUUUAAAGCAACUGCUUCUUAACCCGUAGAACAGAUCUCAUAGUAGGGUCCAUUUGUUUAUUUGCGUUUAAUAAUAAUGUAAUAAUAGCGAACUUUUAUUCAGUGGUUCCUAUGGACUGGGCCCUGUGCUAAGCACUUAGCAUCAUUGUAUCUAUCCUAUAGCAAUGUCAGCAAAUCUGUGAGGCAGCUAUCGCUAUCUAUUUAAAUUUUUUUUAAUGUUUAUGUACUUUUGAGAGAAGGCGAGAGUGGGGGAGGGGCAGAGAGAGGGAGACACAGAAUGGGAAGCAGGCUCCAGGCUCUGAGCGGUCAGCACAGAGCCCAACGCGGGGCUCGAACUCACAGACCGCGAGAUCGUGACCUGAGCUGAAGUCAGACGCUUAACCGACUGAGCCACCCAGGCGCCCCUGCUGUCUAUUUAUUAUAGAGGUUCAGAAAGGUUGAGUAACUAGCUUAAAGUCACACAGCCGGAAGGAGCAGAGCCAAUAGUCACACCCUAAUUUCCCUAAGUCAAGCUUUGGUCUUUUAGCCUCCACAUUGUGCUUCAGGACGCUGUCCCCCAUUUUUAGGAUCUGAUACAGAAACUUACCGGAGUUUCUGGAGGACCAGUCACUAUCUCAUCAUGUUCCUGUUGUGACAUGAAGGCUCCGUGGUAGCAAGCCAGCUUAGGGCCUAGAGACUUGGUGACAUCAGUGUCACAUCUGCAGGACACUCAGAACGCGAACGCACGACAUGAGGAGAGAUGCUCCCAAAGGAGGCUGUUGGCACCAGGAUCCAAGAAGCAGCGAGAAUCUGUGUUUGUUUGGAGGUGUUCCCACUACCCGUGAAGGCAGGGAUAGUCGGCAGUGUGGUGCCUGAGGAACAGCCACAUGACACCGGAGGCUGCUCUAGGGACCGUCCUCCUCCGUGCUGGGCUCAGAGUGUGGCAUUUAGUACGCAUCACCUCACCUGGGACUCCUGGCGGCGUGUUGCCCCAGGGACCACUUUGUCCCCACCUUACCAGGGGCAAUAUCUCAAAUACAGGAAGUUCUCCUCAACAAACUGAUGCCAGAUACAGAUAGCCUUCAGAAAUCCAGGUUUGCGUGUUCUCUCAAAAGGGCACGAAAUUGAAAUACUUUAUUAAGUUGUGGGAUAACAACCAGUUAUCCCGGAGGUGCAGUUACUGUUAUAGAAAAAGGGACGAGGAUUUCCAGCCUGACAGAUUUAGAUUCCCCGGCUCAAUAACCACGGGACCUUGGGCAAAUUACCUAACCUCUUUGAGUCUCAGUUUCCUCAUUUUCUAAAAGGGGGCAAUAUUGCAUACGUCCCAGGGUUACAGUGAUAGUCAAUGAGAUGAUGUAUGUGAACUGCCUGGUGUAUUUUGUGCAACGUCGUAAGUGUUCAGUAAAUACUAAUGAUGACGAUGAAGGUGGUUACUGUUAAUGCCCUUCCAGCGAGCUGCCCACCCUUAUUCCAGAUCCUUUGUGACCACUGCUGGGGACUUUAGAAUCUCUGAACCCACCGAAACCCCGCUUAUCCAGAGGGCCUUGCCAUUUCUGCCUGCUGAUGGCUCAUUUGUCUUGGGGAUGACCUUCAUCCUCCACAUUCCCAUUCCAUGGUUUGCCAGAAUCCAGCAUUUAGGCAGUGAAUUCUCAGGGCUGUAGGAGCUAUGGUCUAUGAGGAGUUUACUACCUGUGCCCAAUAAAUGUUCAAUGAAUAAAUAAGAGCCAAUAAAACUGUAAAAGCAAGAAUAAAAAUGAGUAUCCUUAUAAGCACUUUAGAUCUUAAAAGGUCUUUAUAUUCGGCUGCUCGGAGUCAAACUUGUAUCCAAUAAAGAUUUUACAAAGGGUCUGGAGUUGCACCACCAAAGGAAGGGGGAGGCUCCAAUAUCCAUCCCUGGCCGGAUGAACAGCCACCCAGGGCGGGGCCAGUGGCCUUGCGUCUCCAGGUCUGAUAAACUCCAGGAAAUACAUUCAGGCCAAAGUAUAUUUCCUAUCAGUGGAAGAAGACCAGAAAUGGAAGAGGGAGACAGGGAGGAGACCUCCCAAGGGCACCUCACUCCAACACUAGGGACUAUGAAUCUACAACAGGAAGGCUUUAAAAAAGUCGUGUCAGUCUGUCUUGAUGAUGUUCUAGUAGCUAAAUAGAAAGGAGCCAUGAGGACGGCCACAAAGACCAUCAUAUCUCACCUCCAUCCACCCACCACAUUGCCUGAAAUGUUACCAUUAGGAUUCUUUUCCUUUGGGUUUCCUUUGAGUUUUGAGUUAACAAGUAAGAGUAAUGUCUGGAAAAUUCUUAUUUUACAUCCUCAACUUUUGGAUUUUCUCUUCUAGAUCAUAAAGACAAACAAUAGCAAGUAACUUCUUAGUGUUUUUUCCUUCUUAUUACAAAAGAGAUCCACAUUCAUCAUAAAAUAUUUGCAAAAAGAGAUAAGCAAAAUUAAGGAAAUAAAUUCAGCCUAUAAUGUAAUUUCCCAGGGAUAGUGAUUAUUAAAAUUUAGGUAUUCCCUUCUGCCAUUUUCUUUCUUUUUUUUUUUUUUUUUAAAUUUUUUUUUUUCAACGUUUAUUUAUUUUUGGGACAGAGAGAGACAGAGCAUGAAUGGGGGAGUGGCAGAGAGAGAAGGAGACACAGAAUCGGAAACAGGCUCCAGGCUCUGAGCCAUCAGCCCAGAGCUUGACGCGGGGCUCGAACUCACGGACCGCGAGAUCGUGACCUGGCUGAAGUCGGACGCUUAACCGACUGCGCCACCCAGGCGCCCCAACGUUUAUUUAUCUUUGAGACAGAGAGAGAGACAGAGCAUGAACGGGGGAGGGUCAGAGAGAGAGGGAGACACAGAAUCGGAAACAGGCUCCAGGCUCUGAGCCAUCAGCCCAGAGCCUGACGCGGGGCUCGAACUCACAGACCGCGAGAUCGUGACCUGGCUGAAGUCGGACGCUUAACCGACUGCGCCACCCAGGCGCCCCAACGUUUAUUUAUUUUUGAGACAGAGAGAGACAGAGCAUGAACGGGGGAGGGGCAGAGAGAGAGGGAGACACAGAAUCGGAAACAGGCUCCAGGCUCUGAGCCAUCAGCCCAGAGCCUGACGCGGGGCUCGAACUCACAGACCGCGAGAUCGUGACCUGGCUGAAGUCGGACGCUUAACCGACUGCGCCACCCAGGCGCCCCUNUUUUUUUUUUUUUUUUUAAAUUUUUUUUUUUCAACGUUUAUUUAUUUUUGGGACAGAGAGAGACAGAGCAUGAAUGGGGGAGUGGCAGAGAGAGAAGGAGACACAGAAUCGGAAACAGGCUCCAGGCUCUGAGCCAUCAGCCCAGAGCUUGACGCGGGGCUCGAACUCACGGACCGCGAGAUCGUGACCUGGCUGAAGUCGGACGCUUAACCGACUGCGCCACCCAGGCGCCCCUGCCAUUUUCUUUCUUAAUGAAACUUUUUUUCCUAUGAAAUUUAAUAGAAUACAAUGUACCUCUCUUUUCCUUUAUAUUUAACAUUCCUUAUUUCUUACUUAGAAAACCUUUUCCUGCGUUAUGAAAAAUUCUCCUAUAUUUUCUUCUAAAUGUUAAUAAUUUGUAGUUUUAUACAGUUGUUGCCUUUCAGAUAAAGUUAGCAAUCUACCUAGAUUGACAUCUGUGGAUGGCAUAAGGUAGGGACAAGUUCUAUUUUUCGCCCCAAAUGGAUAUCCAGGUGUGUAUCGAGACCAUUCUUUCCCUACUACUCUGCAAUUUCACUUUUUGUUGAAAAAUCAAUGGUCCACGCACGGUGGCUCUCUUUCUGGGCGCUCCUGUGUUCCAUUGGACUGUCUGUAUGUUGGACAAGACAAGGUGGGCUAUGCUUUGUUUUGGGUAACGAAUAACCCCAACAUGUCAUGGAUUAACAUACUAAAGUUAUUGUUUUUCUUUACUAGCAGAUCACUGGUGAUACAGAAUAUGCGUCAGGGCAACUGUCCUUCAUGAAUGAAGUCUCUGCAUCAUCGGGAGCACUCUCUAUCCCAAGAAGAGAGACUUGGGUCUCUCAUCAUCUCAACGGCACUCAUCAUUCACUUCCUCUUACAACCCAUUAGCCAGUGACUCUCUCAGUAAGAGUUAGACUCAUGAGCAAAGGGCUGUGAAGUGCUGUCCGCCAUAUGCCUGGAAGGGGAGGCUACCAGAUAUUGGAAAACACGAGUUAUGCCUACCUUCAUCUAUACCAUUGACUGAAAGCGCUGGUCUUAAUCAUUUUUAUAGUAAGACUCCGUACCUAACAGACGAAAGACUCCGAUGCUGUGUUUCGACUUCAAGAAGGCCUUGGCUCGUCUUAGACCUUGGCAAUUCCAUACAAAUUGUAGGAAGUGUUUGUGAAGUUCUGAAAAAGAUCCCGAAUUCACAGCUGAAUCAAGGGAGAAUCGACACUGAAAAUAUCAAGUGUUCUAAUUCAGUAACAGAAUUUCUCUCCUUUAAUCCAGGUCUUCUUUAGUUUCUUUCAAUAAUGUUUUAUAAUGUUUAAAAAAAUUUUUUUUAACAUUUAUUCAUUUUUGAGAGACAGAGACAGAGUGUGAGUGGGGGAGGGGCAGAGAGAGGGGGAGACACAGAAUCCAAAGCAGGGUCCAGGCUCCGAGCCAUCAGCACAGAACCAGAGGCAGGGCUUGAAAUCACGGACCACAGGAUCAUGACUUGAGCUGAAGUUGGACACUUAAUGGACUGAGCCACCUGGGUGCCCCAAUGUUUUAGAAUGUUUUGCACAGAGGUCUUAUACACCUUUUGUUAGAUUUUCCCCUAAAAUUUGGAUAUGUUUAAAUCCUAGUGUAAAUGUUAUUUUCAAAGUUUUUUCCAUUUUAUAAAAUCUGUGGUUGAUAGGGGCACCUGGGUGGCUCAGUUGGUUUUAACCAUCCAACUUCGGCUCAGGCAAUGAUCUUGCAGUUCACUAGUUCGAGCCCCACGUCAGGCUCAGAGCCUGAAGCCUGUUUCAGAUUCUGUGUCUG
Molecule: long non-coding RNA, 60914 nt
Filed under: Lynx pardinus (Iberian lynx)
Lineage: Eukaryota; Metazoa; Chordata; Mammalia; Carnivora; Felidae
Source: RNAcentral